AGAGAGAGAGAGAGAGAGAGAGAAGUCAACGAGGAGAGAGAAAGACAGUCGAGCUGCAACGUCAUGCCCUCUCUGUGGUGAGCUGAUAUCUAUCUGGAAGAACUUACUUCUUGGAGAAACGUUCUCUCUCCUUUCUCUCUGCCGGUGCGAAGAAUUCCUCUAUUUCUCUCUCCGACGCCGCCAGCGACGUGACCGUUGAGGUUGCCGGCGGCGGCGCUUCCAUUUUGCAUCGGCCGCCGGCGUCGGCGGGCGUCGCCGUUGAUGCCAUGUCCUCUGCCUCCUUCCUUCUGAGCUCCUUUAUGGUCGUUUCCUCUCUACAUAGCAUUAAACAAAGACCGCCUGAGGAUGAAUACACGAAGAAUAGAAGGAGAAGCAACGAGUAACGGAAGAAGGAAGAGAUGGUGAUCGUCUGCUCGUCCGUUGCCGGAAUAAAUUCUCAGACAUAUCAUCAUGGGUUGGAAUUACGCUGAGAGAGAGAGAGAGAAGAAGAAGAAGAAGAAGAAGAAGACCAACCGACCUCCCUAGCUCACGGUCGUAAUUAGAUUCGGAACCUUCGGCGACCUGUGAACGGCAAAAACACUUAACUUCGUUAGAAUCGGGAGACGAUUCAAACAGGGAAUAACGGCUCUCCAUUUCCGACAAAUGAGGAGGAACGCUCAAUCCGUCAAUAACCGUUUUUCUUCGCCCCCUCACCUCCGUCGCCGUCGCCGCCGCUUCCUCCAUGCGUGGCACUUCGCCGGCGAACCUGCAGACCCGAUCCCAGUCUUCGUCAUUGCUCCCCUUCUCCGACGAGGUUCUGAACCAUUGCGCCCUCAUGUUCUCCCACUUACCCACUCCUUGGGAAAUUCUCCGGCUUCGCAGCUGGAGGCAGGCGACCUCAAAGUCUCCUUCUGUAACUCUCUUUCUCUUCGCACCGCCGCUCGCAGCGGCAGCGCCGCCAUCCUCUCCGACGCCGGCGGACACCGCCAGCGAAGGGGAAAGUACCCUUUCCUUCGUCUCCAUUCUGACCACCGGGGUCAGAUCCAUCAACCUCUCCUCCCCUCCCUCUGGUCUCUCCUUCACUUCCAGCUCUUCGGCCAUUUUAUUUUCUCUCUUUCGAACGCAGAAGACACUCGAGGCUGUCUCCCUUGUGGGUAAGAGGGGGUGUAAGUGGGGUCCACAGACGAACCUCGUAUUAGAAAGCCCCCCCAUGCGAGGGUAGGCAAGGAAGGUUCUCACUCCACGUGGCAGGUCGACGUCGUCAUCAUGAUAAGAUGGGGCCCGGCGGUGGGGCCUACGUUGGGAAAAUGCCGUCAUUAAGAGGAUCUGAGCAAGUCCUCUCAAUUGGCUACUUCAUGAGGGUGUGGUUGACCCACAAUUACUCUCCUUCUGUUGACAAAGACAGAGCGUCUCCCCGUUGACCAGUUCUAUGGAUUCCACGUAAGAUAAGAGCGUCCUUAUUUGGUCAAAAAAUCUUCAUUUAUUACCUACUUUAUUGUAUAAUGUCUAUUUGUAUGAUAUGAAAGUAAUCUAUACUUUGAUGAUGGAUCAGUACCAAUUAACUUGGUUGACUGGUUUAAAGGUCAACUAGGUUGGUGUGGGACUGCCCAUCAGUUUGUCCUUUUCUGGUACUUCAAUGAGAAGUCCUCCACUUUCCGAACAUGUAAAAGGAUUAAAAGGCCGGGAACCUCAUUUAAUCAAUCGAAAAAGACAUUUCUCAUAAAUGUACAGAAAAUUGUGGUUCUUCAUGACCAUCUACGUCCAUCUCUAGCCAUUUUUAGAACCCAAUAUUUUGUGGAUGCGGGCGCUCUCUAUUCGGGUACACUACCAUUUAAUAAAUAUAUUUAAGUAAUGCAUAGUAAUAUUCCCACAAGUGUAUUCUAACACAUAUGUAGCUUUUAUAUAAGAAUAUAAUGAUAAAGACAAGGUCAUACACAGUAAACUAUUUCUAGACUCGGUAUGAUUCUCAACGUCUUCUUUGAUACUAUUACUCCCGAAUGUAUGUUUCAUGUCAUUUGGCAGUAAGGUCCAUAUCUGCGGUGAAGGACCACUCUCUCUCUUGGUUGGUACACUCCCAUAUGAUAAAUUUAUUUUAGUAAUGUAAAGUAAUAUUCCUACAAGUCUCCGACAUAGAUAUAUCUUUUAUAAAGUAAUAAAAGUUACGGGGUCACUGUCAAUUCUAUCAAGACUCGGUUUAAUUUUUAGCCUGUUUAUAGUAAUAUUUAGACGUGCUGGUAUGUUUGAUGUUCCCCUGAAGAAAGGUGCGCAUCUGCGCGGGAGGACCACCCCCUCCUCUCUGGGUCUCCUUCAGAUUGGCUUCAGAUCAGAUCAGAGGGCCCAUGGGCUUGGGUAGCUGGAGGGAGGAAGGAUGAAGAAGAAGAAGGGAGAAGGGAGAAGGGAAAAGGAAGAAGUAAGAAGGAAGAAGGAAGAAGGAAGAAGGAAGAAGAGGAAGCCCCCUCCCAACUGGUGCCAGAGGGAGGAGCCUUCUUUUACCUGCAAAGGGGCUCCUUGGCCCCACGGGGCUCGCAUCAUAGAAGGGGACCUCCUACUUCUGGACAUGGCUUUCACCUUUGCGCCUUCUCUUCUUUCCCUCUCGCUUUAAACGAGGCCGCCAGUCCGUCUUUCUCUAACCCCAUCGCCGCCUCUUUCUCCCUUUUCACCUCUCUGAUGAGGUGCAGCCAUCUCCGCUGGUUCCUCAAGGCGGGGGAGUUGCCAUAGGGGGCCUCCCAAGCUGCUCGAGCUGUCUACAAGGAAUCUCUCUCUCUCUCUNNNNNNNNNNNNNNNNNNNNNNNNNNNNNNNNNNNNNNNNNNNNNNNNNNNNNNNNNNNNNNNNNNNNNNNNNNNNNNNNNNNNNNNNNNNNNNNNNNNNNNNNNNNNNNNNNNNNNNNNNNNNNNNNNNNNNNNNNNNNNNNNNNNNNNNNNNNNNNNNNNNNNNNNNNNNNNNNNNNNNNNNNNNNNNNNNNNNNNNNNNNNNNNNNNNNNNNNNNNNNNNNNNNNNNNNNNNNNNNNNNNNNNNNNNNNNNNNNNNNNNNNNNNNNNNNNNNNNNNNNNNNNNNNNNNNNNNNNNNNNNNNNNNNNNNNNNNNNNNNNNNNNNNNNNNNNNNNNNNNNNNNNNNNNNNNNNNNNNNNNNNNNNNNNNNNNNNNNNNNNNNNNNNNNNNNNNNNNNNNNNNNNNNNNNNNNNNNNNNNNNNNNNNNNNNNNNNNNNNNNNNNNNNNNNNNNNNNNNNNNNNNNNNNNNNNNNNNNNNNNNNNNNNNNNNNNNNNNNNNNNNNNNNNNNNNNNNNNNNNNNNNNNNNNNNNNNNNNNNNNNNNNNNNNNNNNNNNNNNNNNNNNNNNNNNNNNNNNNNNNNNNNNNNNNNNNNNNNNNNNNNNNNNNNNNNNNNNNNNNNNNNNNNNNNNNNNNNNNNNNNNNNNNNNNNNNNNNNNNNNNNNNNNNNNNNNNNNNNNNNNNNNNNNNNNNNNNNNNNNNNNNNNNNNNNNNNNNNNNNNNNNNNNNNNNNNNNNNNNNNNNNNNNNNNNNNNNNNNNNNNNNNNNNNNNNNNNNNNNNNNNNNNNNNNNNNNNNNNNNNNNNNNNNNNNNNNNNNNNNNNNNNNNNNNNNNNNNNNNNNNNNNNNNNNNNNNNNNNNNNNNNNNNNNNNNNNNNNNNNNNNNNNNNNNNNNNNNNNNNNNNNNNNNNNNNNNNNNNNNNNNNNNNNNNNNNNNNNNNNNNNNNNNNNNNNNNNNNNNNNNNNNNNNNNNNNNNNNNNNNNNNNNNNNNNNNNNNNNNNNNNNNNNNNNNNNNNNNNNNNNNNNNNNNNNNNNNNNNNNNNNNNNNNNNNNNNNNNNNNNNNNNNNNNNNNNNNNNNNNNNNNNNNNNNNNNNNNNNNNNNNNNNNNNNNNNNNNNNNNNNNNNNNNNNNNNNNNNNNNNNNNNNNNNNNNNNNNNNNNNNNNNNNNNNNNNNNNNNNNNNNNNNNNNNNNNNNNNNNNNNNNNNNNNNNNNNNNNNNNNNNNNNNNNNNNNNNNNNNNNNNNNNNNNNNNNNNNNNNNNNNNNNNNNNNNNNNNNNNNNNNNNNNNNNNNNNNNNNNNNNNNNNNNNNNNNNNNNNNNNNNNNNNNNNNNNNNNNNNNNNNNNNNNNNNNNNNNNNNNNNNNNNNNNNNNNNNNNNNNNNNNNNNNNNNNNNNNNNNNNNNNNNNNNNNNNNNNNNNNNNNNNNNNNNNNNNNNNNNNNNNNNNNNNNNNNNNNNNNNNNNNNNNNNNNNNNNNNNNNNNNNNNNNNNNNNNNNNNNNNNNNNNNNNNNNNNNNNNNNNNNNNNNNNNNNNNNNNNNNNNNNNNNNNNNNNNNNNNNNNNNNNNNNNNGAGAGAGAGAGAGAGAGAGAGAGAGAGAGAGGGAGAGAAGUGACCGAUGCCAAGGGGGUGUAUCAGCUGGGUACGGGUGCAUUCUUAUGAGUUCGUUUAUUGGACCUCGAUCAGCAUGGAUCCUCGCUUGUUGGUGGUACCGUCUUUUCUCAUGCAGACAAUUCUGUUCCUCGCAUACCAUCGUUGGCAAUCAAUCUUGGGGUAAAAUCAGAUGGGGCACCCACCCAAUCAUAGGACAAGGCUGCAUAAGUUGAGGCUUCCGAGGUGGAGAAAGGCGGUUCUAUACUGAUACGGCUGAUUCUGAAUUAUCAGAUGUUACUUAGUAUAAUUGUUACUACCAACUGUGGCAUUAUAUCCAAUAAAAAAAAUUUCUUACAUAAAUGUCACAACAAAACUUUUAAUAUGGUUGAAGUGUUAAUCCAUCACCUAUUUUUAUCUAGGAGAAUGACCAUUUCAAAGAUACUUGGGUUAAAUUGUAAUGUAUAAAUACAUUUUUAUGUUUGGAAAACAAGGUUAUGAAUCAAGAAGUGUCCAUGGAUGCUUGCCAAAUGGCUAAUGAUAAAAGGUAUUGAGUAAUCUUUAAUAAGUUCACCAAAUUAUUUUGAAGAGGGAAACAAAAUAUUUUAGAAUAAUUCACUUAAAAUGUAAAUCUAGUUUCCACAGACAUUCAUGAAAUAAAAUUAUGAAAUUUUAACUUUUUUCCUAUCUUUGGUUUAUAACUAUCAUUAUAUGAAUGAAAAAUAAUAUCAUUUCAAAAAUUGAUUAACUAAAAUUAGCAUCUACUUGUCACAAAUCAAAAAAUUAUGGGUGAAGUUUUAAUUUAUCUAAACCUAUAAUAUUAUUUGUACAAGUUUAAGUAUAAAAAAUAAAACAUUGAAUAAAAUUGAUCAUAAUAACAUAAUACUUUAGUAUUAUAUAAGUGCAAAAUCUUUCAAAAACAUCCUAAUCUGGGUGAAGUCCAUGCAAAAGCUUUUUCUCUAGCACUAAUGAGAAUAGAAUGUAUAUUUGUCAACUGGUCUUGUUUAAGUGAACAUAGCAAAGUUAUAUUUGUCAACUUGUCUUGCAUAUGUAGUGUGACGGCAUUAGGUAUAGUGCUUGCUCUCAGAAGGUGUGGCCUAGCUGAGGUGAUAUCAUGAGUGAAGUAUUUCUCACAUCAAUCCAACCAUUAUCAUUCAAUAAACAUUUUAGUUUUAUUUAUAUUACUCCUUAAUUUGACCAAAAUAUUUUGAUCCAUGUAUCUGCUUCUUAGAAGUGUAAUUCAUUCUUAAAAUCGUCUCAUUAUUCAUGAAUGUAAACUAUAUUUUUAAGCUAAGAGUGCAUCAUGUGCUGUGCAAGCAUUUAUAGUGUAAACCAAUAUUUUGAUCAUCUUAAGUUUUCAAUUAGAAAUCAAUCCCAUGGUUUUUCCUUGGAACAGUAUGAGAAAUCCUAAACUAUAUAUGGUGGCAAUUCAGAAUUCUCAAUGUUUUUAAAUAAAACAUUAUGAUGUGUAGUCAAGUAAAUUGUACAACAAAAUUAUAAAAUAUUAGUACAUCUUAAAUCAUGCACACGAUGUCAAAGGAAAUGGAUAAAAGGACUUCAAUCAACAUGAAUCCAAGUUUACCUUUUACUUGUAUCUAAGCAUUAUUACAUGCCUGGUUUCUCCUUUAUUUGAUGAGAUUUAGAUAUUUGACCUAAAAUAGUCAAAUGAGCCAAAAAAAUUAACAAAAAUUUAAAGGAGCAAAAAGUAGGACUUUUAGUGCAAGGGUUGAUCCUUGUAAUUACCUAAAAACCAAAAAAAAUUAGAGUUGACUCGUAGAAAGUAGGGAUCUGUUGGAUUUCACAAGUGUCAUAUGGUUUUCUAGAUAGAGUUACAUCUUAUAGUCAAAUGGUCUGACCACCCAUGGGUAAUGGCUGACACAUACAUUAAGGGUUGACUCAUAAUUUGAAGGCCUAUUUAUGGUAUUACAAUCAACUACACGAGGGUAUAAACUAAAAAAGUUGAUGGUGUAUGAUCCCUAUAAUAUUUUUUUUGGCUAGGGAUGGAUACAAAUUCUCAAAUUUAAUCAUAGCUUGAAUGGAAACAAUGAUUGUUUAUGGAUGAAACAUAGUAGAUAGUGGUCAAGCCUUUUUCAACAUAUGGUUGAUCUUCUCGAUUUAUAAGACCACCUAAAAAAUGAAAUAAAAGGUAACACUUGAUGGAUUAAGAAGUGUUCUAGUUCUUUCUUCGAGUUUACGAGUUUUCAAAACAUUUGUACUCUCAUGCAAGGUUUUGGAUGUCUACAUUUUAUUGUAUAUUGAUGUGUUUGAUAGGCAUUCCAUUUAGCAAAAGCUUUUGUGAUAGAAUCUAGGAUUAGCACUAGAGAGAGAGAGAGAGAGAGAGAGAGAGAUUUGAGGGGUGGGUGAAUUUGCACUUUUGCAUGGAACAUUUGAAAAUUAAGCGAUUAUGAAAACAAAUUGAAUCAAAUAAUACCAGACCCAAGACUAUAACACAUUGUUUCUAACAAUAAAGUGAGGCCUAAUUCAAGAACACCCUGGAGGCCUUCAACAAAAUGCCCAGUACUAUACCUUGUGAAAGUAAACUUAUUAUUCUUAGCAAUUAUGUUUUUAUAAAGGAAAGCAUGGUUAAUAAAAUAAAAUCUUUUAUGAGGCAAGUCAACGAUUUCAUGUUUUAGAUAUUUAAUGGAAUUUAGAUCAUUGACCCUAUGUAGUAAAGUAAAUACCUCUAAGUCAUAAAUUUUGAUAAUAAAAUAUUUGAGGAAAUUUGGAAAAUUUUUGGGGUGGGGUGAAGAAUUCUUCUUCUUUGUCAAAAAAAUAAAUAAAUAAAACAUCUGAGGCCCACACAAAGUUUUAGCAGUAAUUUUCUAAAGUUGCUCUUUUUUAAAUUGCAUCAUCAUGCUGCUGUCACCGCCAGCAUUCAAUCUGACGAGGAGAUCCAGGAAUCCCAGCGACCCAGAAGAAGAUAAUCUCACAUCUCUUCUGGGCCGGUCCAUUUAUUCCUCGGAAAGUCUAAUUUUUGCCUCGAAAAUCGCCUGUUGACGAGUUCAUCGGGGGGGGAACGGUUCUAUAUCUGUUCUGAUACUCCUCUGAUUUUAAUCGUUAGGCGGAGGUGGGGGUUGGAGAUGUGGUGGGGGAAUGGAGGUCGGUUCUACUGGGGGAGGAGAGAAGCGAGUGCAGAAGGGAUUGUGGUUUUGUUCGCGUGGAUGUCAAGCGAAGAGAAGCCCGUUAGGUCGUAUGUGAAGCUUUACGGCUCCCUCGGUUGGAAUUCCCUCGUUUGCCACUCCGAUUUCCUCACACUGUAUAUUCCUGAAUCUCAUUGCUCCCUGUUCUUGAGGUCUUGCUCAAUCUCGCUCCUGUUUUCUUUCUCUGAUCUCCCUGUGGUCUGAUUUUUGGGAAAAUGCCCUUCCUCGUUUGCCAUGAGUUCUUCUGAAAUGCGCAACCCCUUCGUGAAAUAAUCUUGGCUUCAGUUGGAUGUCGGAAAAAAUAUCUAAAGUGAUCUGAAAGAAAGAAACAAUAGGGCCCAAUAUCACAAGCUUCUAAUUAAAGCAGCUCUUCGUUCAUAGAUUUCUUUUGUAAACAAAAUUACAGUUAUGAAUCAAUCACAGAACGGAUGCUUUUUAAUUAAAGAACGCUGAAGUUGUUUGAGAAGUACAAGGAGACUAUUUGAACCAACAAUAUUAGUUGAACAUUGGUCUGAUAUUCAAACAAGAAAGAAAAAAUUAGUUUACAAGGUGUUUAUCGCAUCUUCAACAUUCUUCUGCAUGAUUCUUAUCAGGGCUAUGUGACUUGCUCUCUGUAAAAGUUUCAGUUCCUUGUCAGCUGUCUGCCCUUUAUUGAUGCCGAUUCCUUUUUUCUCCGGAUUCGAUGGUGUUUUAAAAACAUGGGGGUGGCAAGGCCACACAGAUACCAUAAGUAUAUUGAAUUUAACCGAGUCUAUAUGCUAAGAUCAAUAUGGCGAUUCUUGCACUAGCCCCAGGACAUUAAUGGAAAGGCUUUAACAUCGUCACUAACCUCUUGCAGAAUUUUUGAGUUUGAAACGUACGAACUCAAGCAUUAUUUUAUAAAAUAAAAGCCCAAGUCGUGGCUAUAAAAGCUUUAAAUCAGUAAGCUGGGAUUAGUUUAAGAAUGUUAUCAGCUAACUCAAAGUAGUAUGGUCUCGCCGGGGUUCAAUUGGUUGUUGGUGCCUGGAUGGUUGGGUGAUUCCCAAGAUUUCCUUUUGCAUCUUUCAUCUUGAUCUCCCAAGUUAGCUCUACGGUUACCCAUCAGAGCAAGGGUGACUUUUUCUAAAUAUGAAGAGCUACGUGUGUCCAGAAUUGCAUCAAUGAGGCAACUCCAUUCUUUUCCGCAGAAAUCAAUAUUAUGGCCAUAUUCCAAAAAAUCCUUUGACUGUGUUAUGAAGUAGAAACUGCAUAUGUUUCCUUUGUCAGAAUGUCAGAUUGCAAAAUACACGUCUUUGCAAUCUAUCCCAUUUUAUUUCUUCAUUAGUCUGUGAGGCUCUGUGGCUGGCGUGCUCCUACUUGAUCCUUUCUCCUGUUUCCGGACAUCUUCAUGCCAUCUCUCACUCUUUCUUCUCCAUGGUCUUUCUAGCAGGCUCGCUUUCCUGCCCAGACCGACGGUUUAGUUUUCAGUGAUUUAUUGAAUUCUCUGUGAAGAUAAUUUUCUGGAUGUUCCAACCUGAUGGUUACCUGACAACAGUGAGCCUCAAGAUGGUAGGAAUCAUCUUGGGGACGAGCUAAAUUUUUUACUUAAAGGGUGAUCCUCAUGUGUAUGGGAGUGACGACCCAUUAAGGUUGAUACUCAUGUAUUGGUUCUGUAGUCCUCUUCGUGAUUUUUUGUUACAUGGCACAGCGUCUUUCCAUAUUCAAUGAUCACUCGCCUGAAACUUGAAGUUGUUUUUUAUAAAAGAAUGAGGCAGCUGUUCUAAUGCUAGGGUUAUCCUCCAUCGAAUCCUCUUGGGAAAACAGCUGAAGUUUGGACUCUAAGAUUUGUCCUUGAUUUUGUGAGGCACUCUGUUAUGGGUUCUUCUUUUCUAGGAACUUUGACCAUGUAGCUCUGCCUAGGUAGCUCUUCUAGGGUACUAAACUAGGAAUCUCUCAGUCCUUAGACUUGAAAGCAGCACAAGCGGACAUCUUCUGCGAACACUUCACUCCCCGAUAGUAACUUCAAAUCCAUGAAUCAAUUUGAGUGCUACCGUAGGGUUCUGUAAGUCACGACUCCAGCUUCUCAAUAAUGCAAACUCUGAAGCAUCUGUUCCACUUGAAAGAUUUCUUCAAGCCAGAAAUCUUUUGAUCUUGCUCUAACUUCAAAAUAGCAUGUGUAGGAAUUUUCACAGCAUUUUUAACUGGCAUACACUCUAGGUUGGGUUGUGCAUUUUUAGGCUCACCCUUCACCCUCUUGCCCUCCCUUUUAACUGAGUUCGUCUUCUCCUACAACUGGCACCGCACCUCAAACACUUCAGAGUGUCCCCAAGAUACGUUGGUUAUUCUCCUUGAAAUAUGAAUAGUGCAGACAAUGAAGACCUGAAGAGUUUUCUCGUUCGUCCUGAAUUUUGCAUCAGUAUACUCCAUAUUUCCAGCUUUACCCACCUACUGAUCCUCAUCCAUGAAAUCAAGCAUCUUAAUGCUGCCCUCUCUUCCCAUUUUCCAGUCCACAAGGGAAACAACUGUGUUUGUUACCAUGUCUGUGCAGAAGAGAAAAAACUGUGAUUUUUCUUUAAUGGUGAAUAGCCGAUACCAUCUUAUAUUUUUUUUUUCUUUAUUUAUGCGUCACAAGAAUCACUGCUUUUUUGUAGAGGAAUUUCUUCUUUUAACUUUGGGUUCGGUUUUAUGUAGAUUUUUCCCAGAAAAGGCCACAUCACUGGCACUUGGUGUUCUUCACGAGUUGGUUAAGGUAACCGUUAUUGUUUUAAUGCAAAUUUACUUCACAUUGCAGUAUACUCAGCCCAUUAUAUUAUGAGCAAUCCUAUGCCUAAGUUGCUGGAAAAAAAUUUCAUUAGGUCUAGUUUAUCAUUCCAUUAAGUUCCCGGUGACCAAUUUUCGUAGAUUCCAUCCAAACUAGUUGCAUAUAUCAUUUAAUAUUUCUGGCUUAUGACGUUCUAAUUGUGAUUACUGGGCAGUCAUGAAAAAUAAUUGAAUCAUUUCCAAUCACAGCUGCGAUUAUCAAUAAAUGAUAUCGGAAAUGAUGCCUAGCUUUGCAAACUAGGGACAGACCAUUCACGUGGGACAUGCCACGCAUCAUGAUAUGCACACGAUUUAUCAAUUUUAUAUGUUCUUCCAUUUCAUCUUAUGAUGGAUCUCUAUCACUGACAUCUUUUCGAUCCUUCUCUUUUUAAUGGAAAGAUACCCUUUCUUAUUCUGUGUUAACUCUAUGUACUGUAGGAAGUGAAGAACAGACAAUUGCCUAUUGUAUUUUCAGGUUUCUCAGGAGGCCCAAAGGCCUGUAUGUACAAGGUUUUCCAGGUAAAUUUCUAAAUCGGAAACCUGCAAUUUUUUAUUCGGUACUGUUUAAAAGUCCCAGUUAGAGUACCUUCUCUACGGUGAUGUCGUUUCAUUCAUUGCUUGAAGAUUUUCAUGGUGUUUUCCUUUUCUAGAUAAUUGAAGGACAGUGUGAAGGGCAACUUGAUUUGGUAAGCUAUCUUUUCACUGCUCCUGUUUCUAACAAAGAAGUUCAUUUCUAGUCUUUUAUAUUUAGCAGUUCUUAACAAGAAACAAGACUUUCCUGAUUAGAUAAUAGCUCCUGCGCUUAUGUAGAAAUUGAUGGGAGUUUAGAUCUUCUACCUAACCAAGAUACUCCAUUGGCGUUUCUGUCUUUUCUUGUAGCGACUGAUUUAUGUCAAAUGCGUAAUUACUUCUUCCUUGUGUUUCACUUUGCUGACUGAAAAGAUCAUCCAUCUUGGCCCCAUUAUAAAUAUCUUCCUUCAAGAGUAUGAUAAUUGCACACAAGAGGCACAUGCAAGAAUGCCACAUGAAGUACAAAGAAGCACCCCAGUUUUUCACAUAUGAGGGGAGAAUAAAAUAUUGACCUGCGCUUGUUUUUAGAAAUAAUUGGUGCCCUUCUCCAUAACGAGUAUUUGUGAGCAGAUGUGCUUGGAAAAUUUGUUGAACAAGAAUAUGCUCUUCAUUUAUGAAUUCAUUGUAUGCUUAUCACAGACUGCUGCUAAUGAUAUUAUCUGUUGACGAUUCACACUGUUACAAGAGUUUCCCAUUUCCAUUUCUUUCAUUAUUGCUUAAAAGGUUAAAUGCUACCUUUAGUCUCACUAAAGAAAUUUAUUAUUAUUAACUUCGUUUUUCUAGAAGGGUGAAUAUAAUGUUGUCAGGGACUGCGCAUGUGGACAAAUAUACGACUCAACCCCUGUUGAUUUCACCAGUGACUUGGGCACUCGUUUUGUUCUUCACCCAAGUAUCCUCAGAAUGUCUGAGCCACCACGAAUAGUUUCAUGGAUGGCAAAAAUGAUAGCUUCUGGCUUGGAUACUCUUUUCCUACGGAGAUUUGAAGAACAACGUGAUGAAUAUUGGCAAACGCUAUUUUCUUCUGCGGUGGGUUUCACAUUUUUAUUUUUCAGAUCAGUCUCUUCAUUCUUAUCAGUUUCAUUUUCUUAACCAUGUUUUGCUGCACUGUUGCAGAAAAUGGGACCAGUUCUUGUCAUGUGCUCAGAAGAUGAUGAACUUGCUCCCUUCUGUGUUAUUCAUAACUUUGUGGAAUGUCUGAAAGAGCAAGGUUCUGAUGUUAAGUUAAUUAAAUGGACAUCUUCUCCACACGUAGGUAGGCCUGAAAAUCUUUAAAGAUAUCUACAUGUUAGUACUAUUCUCGAAUUGGAGAUAAAUGUGUCUUGAAGUGAAAGUUUGCGUGCAUCAUCCUCUAAAUAAAAAAUUAAAAAAAUGCUAGAGUUCUUAAAAGUAGUAAAUCUUCGGAUACAUUCACAUGGGGCGCUAACAAGAGAAGGUUGCAUCCACAACAUAUUUCCUGGGGACGUUGAGUUAAAUAGGCUCCUUAGUGAUUUUGUUGACCAAGCUCAAAGAAAUUUUUUUCUUUAAUGAAAGAUUUCGAGUUAUUUCCUGUUAGAGGCAUGUUGAUUUUGUUAUGUGAGUUUUGUACUUCUUAAUUUUAAAAAGGAAGCUGUCAUGUUUUGUUUUUGUUUACAUUCUUUUAGAUAAGUCUUUUUUAUUAUUAGUAUCAGGCCUGGUAGUAAAUGCGGCUUUCUAAGUUGGCAGUGAUUCAAAUGCCCCCCAAGAUUAAAGUCAGUGAGCAUCGAUUAGAUCCCAGUUAUGAAUGGAUACUUCGUCAAUUAAUAGUCAUAUCAUGAUAUUAAAAAUUUAAUUGAUAAACGAUAAAAAUCAUUACAUUGAAAAAUGACCCUACAAAGAUUUUUUUUUUUUCUGGGGGUGGACUAUGAGGUGAAGCUCGCUUGACAAGUAAUUGGGAUGAGCUUCAUUUGAGGGCUCUUCGCUGGACGUCAUUUUCCAAGUUUAUAUGGCAUCUAAAAAUUUGUCAUUUUAUGAGUUGAGGGCUAUUUUACUCUGCUCAUGAUAUAUGACCCGUUUAGAUACGUUUGUGGGCCGAGACUCAGUUUUCAACUUUAUGCGAUGAAGAUCAUUCUGGUCUCUGUAGCCUUUGACAUAAUGCCCGUAUAAACUUUGUUAUUAUAAUUUAUAUUAGAUUAGAGCGUUAAGCUCCAAGAUCACACUGAAUUCUAGCUACUUCUAGGCCAAUGCUUGGUCAUCAUAAUCGAUUAUAAUCAUUGGGCUUUUAGCUUACAUAAGGUUCUCUUGGAUCUUUUCACCUCUGCAUUGCAAGGACUCAAACUUUUUGCCCAUAUGUUUGUUUUAAUAUAUCUCUUUUUUGCCACUAGGCUUCUACAGAUCUUCAUGGAAUCUUUUUUGGUUUAUCUGAUUUUAGGCCCAUAAAAGUUCUUUUUUUACCAUUGAGUUGCAAGCCGACAGAUGCUCUUAUUAGAUUAUGACCAAUGGACCAGAACAAUUUGAUUGGGUUAUGAGCAUUUGACUCUUGGCCCACAAAAGAUCUUAAUUAAUCUUUCUUUGACAGCCAAACUUCACGCAGACAAGGUUUAACAUUUUUUUGUUUUAAAAUACUCCUGAGAUCUUCAAAAUGACCCAGCCAGGCCUUCUUACAUCAGGCCGUCCUGGGCUUUCUAGAAUGGGAUAAACCUGAGCUUGGAUCAGACUCUUUUGUGGCAAUUAUUUGGCUUUCUCCACAGAAUUCUGAUGGGAAUGGAGCUGGUGGCCAUGUGGGCCCUCUUUCUCCCUUCUCUUUCCUUUCUUUGGUUCUGCCUCUUCCUUCCCCAUAAUAUGCUACUGUCUCAAGUCAGACUAUCAAUAGCUCUUCUGAUGUCUACGGAAGCCUACUGGUUUCCUACAGAUCGUUUUCUGCCUUAAAUAGUAAUGAUUCUGACAUGAUAAGCCAUUAUCAUUACUAAACACAGCUCACAUGUGCUUUCAAAAAUUAGCCAUCCCUGUCCUUUUUAUCCAUGUUUCUUAUACCAGCAUUCAUCAUUUUCUUUCACAUAUGAAGAUAUUAUGUCAUAUACUCAAGUAUGGUCUACUUGCCUUCCUAAUCAACACCCUGCAGGCCAUUACAAGCAUCACCCUGCUGACUACCGAGCUGCUGUUUCUCAGUUGCUUAGUCAGGCAGCUAUAUGCUAUUCUCAACGAAUGCAACAACUCAGUGGCAGUUCUUCAGGCAUUGGAGAUUCUGAUGACCGCCCUCACAAGGCCUUGGCAAGUAAUGCAGGGCGUUUAAAGGGCUCUAUUAGUUGUCACUCGCCAUGUUCGGUGGAGCUUGAGACAGAAGAUGUGGGUGCAGGGGAGGAUGAGAAGAAGGGAGAUUUUCUUCAUAUGGAAAGUCCAGAAGCCAUUGCUCAGAUCCUUUCUGACAUCUGCAACCCAAAAACCAUUGAAAGAUGGGACAUAAUGCACAGUGAGCCCCUCCGCAGGAGGCAGGCCUUGUCUUCUGCCAAGAGCCACGGUCCCUUGAAUAAUUUCAGAGGCAUGCAACGUUCAAAAUUGUAGCUGGAUGCUGUCUUCAGAGUGUCAAUACAAGGGAAAUUUCAGGUGGGUUAUGGAAAGCAAGAAGAUUAUCCAGUUAUAGAAAAAUCCAACAGACUAAGUGUUAUUCAUUGGUGCGGUUGUGCCCCCCCGACAAAAGAAAUUCAUUGGUCAAGAAGUUGGUUUUUAUAGUCUUGGCUUUUCUGGUGUUGAUAAAUUGUGUACAAAAGGAUGAUCAUCAUAAAUUAGCAUAAGAUUACUGCUUGAGAUUUUUGUAUAUACUGAACCUUAUAAAUGUUCCAAAAAAAUAGGCACUGAACAUAUUAAUUGUCUCUUUUCUUAUUUCAGAAAAAAGGGAGUUGACUUUGUCUUUUUAUGGAGCACAAGAAAGUGGUAGAAUAUUUGUUCUCACAAAAUACAAAAAUAGUUUAUAAUAUGGCCCUUUUUCAAAUGUUUUGAGCUCCCAGAGGCAGAAAAUCAAGAGAUAUAAUGAUAUUAACUUGUGUAAUUAUCUUCCAAUUUUGAAGGAAGAUUUUUACAUGGCUUGCAAGUGUUUAACUGAAAAACUAUUGGCAUAUUAAAUACAUCAAGCUUACACACUUCGAUGCUUGUUGUCCAUGCUAAGUAAACUCCAAAACUAUACUAUCUAUAAAUCUCAUAAAAGAUUAUCACUAAUAGGUCAUUGGUUUACUCAAUUAGUUUUCUAGAGCAAUGAAUUUAGGAAUGAUAAGCUUACAGUAGAAGGCUAAUAUGUUAAGCUGUAGAGUCAUGAAUCUAGAAGAAAUUGAAAGAUCUAAGGAUGAAGAAUGCACAUUAAAGGGGGGAUGAAAAUACUUUAUUGUGUUUUCUAUCAGAUUUUGAUUUCUAUUUCAAUGGAAUGUAGUAUUCAAGGUUAAAUAUAGUAAUUCUAUUAAAUGGGGAGUAUGAUGUCUACUUUGUCCAAUGUUUAAUGGUGAAACACAAUUAGAAUGAAUACAAUUCACCAGAUAGUGUGUAGACUACCAUGCUGUGGUAUGGAAUAUCAUAUAAAAAGUAUUAUAUUAAGACUUUUUUAGCAGAUUAAUUUCCUGUUACAUAAUAGUGAAAUAUAUCAAGUUUUAUAUAUUUCUGUACAGAAUUAUAUGGUGGAAUAGUAUGCGACAUCAAGCAUAAUACUUCAAUAUAUCAUAAGCUAUAUUGUUGAAUAUUUCAGUACAUCAAACAUUGAUGUUUAUUAGAUAAAAAAUGGCUUACUAGAUAAUGAAAUGUAUCAAGCUGAAUGUUUCAAUUAAUAUAAGUUAUGUUAUGGAACAUGUAUCAGACUUUGAAGAAAUAUAUAAAUAACUAUACAUCUUAAGCAUAAUCUUUUGGUACACAUGGGUUAUAUUAGUGGAAAAUAUAAUAGUCUUAAGAUAUCAUAGAAUAUAUUUAACGAUAUAAUGUACUUGCUAUACUAAAUUUUUAUUAGUUGUUCCUGAGUUCAGUACAUGUAUUUCUCGACAUGUACUGAACUACUAUGUUCUAUGAUAUGAGUUAGUUUAUAAAACCAUAUAUCAUUAAAUUAUGUAGGAUGUAAAUUUCAAAACAUAACUGUCAAAUCCAAGAGCAGUGCAGUGAUAAGUCAAAAUAUAAACCAAGAGACCUUAAUAUAAAGAAUCUAUAUUAAGGACUGUAAGUUUGAAGUCUUGGAGCAACAUAUUGGGAACAUAUUAUAUCAAAUUUGCAUAUUAGUAUUUCACAAUGACCUUUCAUAAUACAUUUCUCAAAUCUAUAGCACAAGAAAAAAGUUUUUUUUUGACAAGAUUGAAUCAUAAUGAUCUAGAUACAUUGCAAGUAUGUAGGGUUAACAUGGUAGUAUAUGAUUGCAUCUUUGAAUCAUGCUAUAGUUAGAUCAGCACCAUACCAUGUUGGUACAAUAUUCCCACAUUAGUUCAAAGCUCAUAAAUAAAUCCCUUCAUUGAAUUAAUAGAGAAAAUUUGAUCAAUGUUGAUUGAGUGUUGAAGAAUUAGUGAACUAAAAAUAGCAUUUUUUAAAAAUGUAAUAUAAUUAAAAAAUUCAAAGAAGGUACCCAAAAAGAAAUCAUACAAAACUCAUUUGAUAAGUUCAAGAUAUCUCCUGAAAAAUUUUACAACUUAGCAACAUAAAAUUUGCAUGUCUGAGUUGAAUUCUAUCAACAGUAUUUUAAGAUGUUUGAGUAGUGAAAGAGUUUCUCAUCCCAAGCUAGUUGCACAUCACAAUGCAAAUAUUCUUUUUAGCCAAUGGUUGCAAGGUUUAAUUUAGUCUCCAUUGAUACUAGAUUUACCAUAGUCAGCAAAAAACAGUGGUUAUGGGUGUUAGGGCAUUUCUAGAAGCCAUGAACAUAAAAUGGUGAGCUUGCAUUGGGUCUUUAGUAAUGGUAAACUUAGCAAUGAAUGCUCAGAUUAUUAUGAUCUAUUGGAGUCCAUAAUCCAAUUGAGGUUAGCUGAUGCCUAGUAUUUAUCUACAUCUACUACUGGUAGGCAGUGGAACCAAGGCAUUAAAUUUUUUUAAAGGCUCUCUCAUUUGAUUCCCUUAGUCAUUCAUUAAUAGGAGUUGGCUCACUUGAACUUCGAAUGCCCAUAAUUUAUUUAUUUUGCAUUAUAUUCCUUUUCACCUUAUCCUCUUGAGAAAAACGAUGAGCCCACCAAGACUCAAGAGAACAGCUAAUCUGAAAAUUAUAAAAAUAAAUAAUGAAUGAAUUUACCCUUUUUGAUGGUAAUAUGAUCAGAAACAUUUUUUAAUGGCCUUUUUCGAACAAUAAAUGGAGGAGAUUUUGUGACAAAAAAAAAAAUCUUGUGUCUAUCGCUGUCGAAUUCAGCCCCUCCUUCCCGUGCCCCGUUGUAUCUCCACAGACGGUGCAGCCGUUUGCAUUGUAGAGGUCCGCCAUGGCGGUUGCGAAUCUGAGUACACUGCCCUUUCCGGCAAAGAUCUCUGCUUUCUGUCCACAGCGUCGCCACCGUCUUCUUGGGUCUUCACCCUGCACCUCGAAACGCCGCCGCCGGGUGGCGACGGUGGUAGCGGCGGCGUCGGCCGACGCCUCCAAGCCGGGCCCGUCCUUCGACUGGUUUCGCCUGUCGGACGUGGGUCUCGGGGUCUGGCCACAGCGGGAGGCAGAGGGGAGGAGGAGCGAAGGGGUGAAGGCAAAUGCCGUGGAAGAUGGCGACGGGAGCAGGGGGAACAAGAAGAAGAAGAAGAAGUGGUGGUGGUGGUCCGGGGACAGGGAGAGCUACCUAGUAGACGACGCAGACGCCCUCCCUCUUCCUAUGACCUACCCCAACUCCUCCCCGGUCUCUCCUGAGGAGGUCGAUCGCCGCCUGGAGUGUGAUCCCCAGAUCGAGGUCGGUUUUGCUCUCUCUCUCUCUCUCUCUCACUUUCAAUCUUGGAGAGGAAUCCGAAGCUCACAUUGGAAUGAGAGGCGGGCUUCAAAGGAUUGAGGAGUUUAUGUUCUAGGAACUCCAUUUCAGAGGCUUGCAAUUGUUCGAGUGCUAUAUCAGAACCCAUGGCUUCUUCAUAGCAUUUCUAAUCUCAUUCAAGGUCUCGGAUGUCCACUUUUUAUUGCCUAUUGGAGGGUCAGAUAACCGUGUUAUCUAGCAAGAUUUUUUUAUUUUUUAUGUAAGAAUUUAUAAUUAGCACCUUAGAAAGAGAGAGUAGAGGUGUGUGAAUUAGCAAGUCUGCAUAGCACAUUCGAUCAAAUCAGGCGCUUAUGGAAAAAACUAAUAAAAAAUUUAUAAAAUCAAUACUAACCCUUCUCUCCCCAACCCCCUUCUAUCUCUCUCUAGUUCUCAAUCCCAGAAUUCUCUACUCACUGGGCUGUUGAUUUCGCCAUAACAGGACUGCAGGGCGGUGGUGUAUGAGUGGACGGGGAAGUGCAGGAGCUGCCAGGGGACUGGCUUCGUCAGCUAUUACAACAAGAGAGGUCAUGAGACGAUAUGCAAGUGCGUCCCCUGUCUCGGAAUUGGUAAGCAUUCCAGCUCCAUUUCAUUCUCUUCUUUCCGUCGAUUGCCUCCGUGCUCUCCUGGGGAGUGCAGCCUUAUUCUUUGUUCAUCGUAGAGAGGCCGAGGGAAAAAUCGAACUUUUUUUUAGCCCAGUAAUGGCAAGAACACAUGGCCCACAUGAGCUAUGGUUGAAAUUUGAGACCCUCAUGGUAGGGUGCCCAUGUUUCUGUCGUGGUCAAAGAAUCAUUUCAUUAUUUUCUUUCCAUUGAUUGCCUCCGUUGUGAGUAGAUUGAUCUAUGUCUCAUGUUCCCUAUGGGAGCAAGGCUCAGCUAUCUGCUCAUCCGAGAGGGACCGAUGGAGAAAUCAAGCUUUUUUUAGCCCGGCAAUGGCAAGAGCACAUGACCCACAUGAGCUGUGGAUCAUAAUUUGAGACCCUCAUGGCAGGGUGCCCAUGUUUGUGUUGUGUUCAAAGAACCAGCAAUGCAUAUCGCCUCUGGGCAUUACUGCAGCUCCUUCUGUGAGGACAUUGAGGGAUCCAUGAAGGUGAAGCAGAGUUAUUUGAUGUAGUAAAGGGAAAGAGCCUUCCAGACUGCCAUUGGUCAGAUGGCAUGUCAUAGAUCCUCAUACCGAUCCUUUUUUUGGUCAGAAUCCAUCAUCUAAGAUGUAAUGAUUCCAGUUUUCAUAUUGCUGGAAAAAUUUUCUCUACCCACUUUCAGAUAUUUCGUCUUUAGCUCCAUCUUCACUUUUUUGGGCAUUGAUGAAUGGGUGUGACCAAAUCGUACAACCUUCACUCUGGGGCAUUUUUUUUAAUCAACUGUAUAAAAGUCGUUAUAUCUAAUCUUUUUGCGCUUCGUAGGAUUUUCCUAUCCUUGUUAGAGGAGAAGCCUUGGUGUGUAUCAAAAACUGCAAUGAUAACGGGAUUGCAAAAAUCAGCAACUCAUCAUUGCAAAAAUCACAUACCUUCUAGGAAAUUCUCUGAACCGAGUUCAAGUAUGAUGAUCCGCUUGGAUUAUGUUAUAGUAUGAUUUGAAGUAUCAUCUUGUUCUCGGAGCACCCUAGGAUCACUUUUUUAUAUUUUUUGAUUGAUUUUGGAUUUUUUAACUUCUGUUUCUAAUUUACAUUUCGCUGAAGGAAACUAACUCCUUCUUGUCCUCUCAGAGGAGGAGAAAGAGCCUGGUUCAUGGAUCCUAAUCUAUUAUUCUCCAUGCAACCUAAGGAACAGAAAAACCUUGUGUUCAAAUUGUUAAUCUAACAUGCAAAAUGGAUAAAGUCAAACUGUAGCUUCUGCACGAUUAUGGAAUCACUAAAUAGAAGUUUGCCAUUGUAGGUCAUGUUGAUCAUUUUUAUACCCUUUCCCAACAGAGAAAGGUAAGGGAGAAGAUAAGCCUCAUAAUAAGCCCUUGAAGGCUGUGAAAUAAGGUAGAGUCAGCCAUUGAAAAGUGUCUCUCUCUUGCGCAGUUUGUAUAGUUUCUGGAUGAGCUAUGCAAUACAUUGUUCCGAACGAGACAUUUUAUUUCUAAUGGAGUUCGACCUUAAAAUGGUUUAUCCUUAUACAAAACUUUUCUUGCAGUCGGAUUUCAAGACUGAAAGAUUUUAUGGUGCGUAUUGUGGUCCUCAGAUGUUGUGCUUCAUUUUCAAUCUUUUCCAUAAGAAGAUAAUAAUUAAAUGCUUUGCAUAUAGAAUUGAAAUCAUGAAGUAAUUGAUUAAGCUUUUUUAUGGGACUACGCCAUUAGAUACUUUAUUUAAUGGAGAUAACCUGGCAUAUCAGGCUUACGUCUGAUGAUCUGGGCAUAUGCUGUUCAAUGCCUUGUUGAUUAGAUUUUUCCGUUUAUUAGAUUUUUCCUGUAUCCUUGACAUUUCCUUUUUUGCGAAUUGCCUUCUUUAAAGGGCCAACUUCGUAUUUGUCUUCCGAAUUUUCCUUCUAGCUAAUUGAGACUUCUUUAUGGAAUCAACUGGCAAAUGUAUUUGGAAUUUUAUUGGAAGUCAGACUUUUUCUUUAUCUUCGUGCGUCAGUUUAUCUUUCUCCAUUGCUUGCACUCACCACUGCUAUUUUGUUUGUAUACUUUCUGGAAAACUUUUAUCCAGGAAGUUCAUUUUUUACUCAAUAUAUACCAUAUUUUAUGAGCAUUUUUGAAACCCAACUAUGCGCAACAUUUUACUGAGCAAAACAUGUACACAAGAACAUAAAUUCAAAAUGUCAUAAUAAAUUGGAACGUAGCUUUUGAUUUGAUUGAAAUUCUCAAAGUAAGUUGGUGAAGCGGGAAGAAAAAUGAUGUUGACCUCUAGAUUGGAGAGGGCAAGAAAAUAAGUUUGCAAUUGUGAUAUGCAUGAAUAGUAUACAUGGUUUCAAAAUUUUCAUGCUCUUGAAAUGUUUCAAAAUUUUAAUGGUGGUACGCCAUAAAACAAGACCCAAAAAUUUAGUGUGUCCUCAUCCCCAUUCUUAAUGUAGCUGGCAAAAGAAUAUACCUGCACUAUGCUUACAAUGAACUCCAAAGUAGAUGGAUUCUCAGCUUUAUUUUACAUUUACUCAUCUGGUUGUAUUUUCGUGUUUUGAUUCUUUAAUGCAAUGUAAUUUCUGUCAAAAAUAGUGGGACCAGCAGCCAAUGUAGUUCUAUUUAGAAUGUAGAGCUCCAACAAAGUUUCAGCUAACUAUGAGCUUUUGGUAACAGAACUUAACUUAUCCACUUCAUGUGUUCCUUCAUGAGAGUGUCUGAAGGCUAUCUGAAUGGCACAGGCCAUGAAGUGUCAUCCUAAAGUCAUGCCAUAUAUGUUAAAAUUCUAAAAAGGACUAGUGAAGAUUUAUAGUGUUUGGGUUCCUUGUUGUGCAGAUAUGCUUCAUUAUUAUAUCUAUCAUAAUAAUGAGAUAAUUGUGUUUCCAGAAGCAUUGUUACUAUUGAAAGCAAUAUGUUCUGAGUACACAAUCAUUUUCCAGCGAAUGUGAUUGGGUUAAGAGCUAUAUUUAAUUCAUGGGGGAAUCUGCAUGAUCUCUUUUUGUGUUCUAUCAUACCUCUACUUUCAUAUUUCGGCAGUCAUUGACCUUUAAUGCAAUGACAAUACGAAAAUUCCUUAAUGUCUGGGUCCUGGGUUUCAGAAUUCUGUUACUGACUUGUAUUUAAAAAGUGGAAUUGCCCCAGUAUAUACAUCUUGACAGAAGGCCAGUGUCAAUAUCUCAUGGGAACUAGAAGCUACUUAGGACUUGAAAGACAAGUAUAGUCUGAACCAAUCUUCAUUCAUUUAAAAUAACUUGUUAAAAAAUAAGUAAUUUUAUUUUUGGCUAUUUUACAUCAUUCAAAGUCUUUCCGCAGAUGUUUUUCUGGUGGUCAUCCGACAGAUUUCGGUUGCAUCAUCUGAUUCAUGAAUCUCAUGCACUUAUUUUGGACAUGUAGUUCAGAGCCGUAUGUUAAAUAUGUCAGUCAACAGAUUGGUUAAAUAGUGCAUUAGAACAGAAGGCAGCUGAAUCAAAGCAAACCAACAAGCUGCAAAAUUGAAGUACCAUUAAACAAAAGAACAAGAGCAUAAGCUGCUUUCCAGUCUAAAACAUUAGAGGAAACUUUUGUAGAAGAAACAUGCAGAUGCCUGAUCUCUUCAACAAUUAACUGGGGACUGUUAUGAAAGAGGUGCCGCAAUGGCCCUGACAGUGCCCUCAGAAAUAAUAAUUCCGUUACUCUGAAGAAACCAUGCUACCAUUGGUCAUGCCCUUGAGCCUAUGGGCCAGAUUAUCACAGCAAAGCUCUCUAUCUUCUUCAUGUACAUCUUAAGAAACUAAUUGAGAAAGUAGACAUUGUUAAUCUCAAUGUAUAUGUGGUGUUGGAUGCUGAUGGCGGAUACGCUUAAUCAUGGUUUGAAAGUGGCUUUUAAGCAGGAAAAUGGACAGGGAGGCAACAUCAAAUCAAUAUUGUUAGGUUAACAUCCAAUUUCUUAGAAGAAUGAUGUGCCAAGCAUUUUCUUAAUGAAGUGUCUGCAUUCAAAACUUGAAAAUCUAUGAAAGUGGCUGAUCUAUUGUCUGCUAGCAACAGAUGAAUGAUGGCGACAGAUUGAUGCCUUCCUCUGACUGUGUCUCAGAUUAGAAUGAGUAUCACUAGGGUGGUGGUUCAGGGCUGAUGCUGUUUGAUUAUGGCUGAGCAGCAGGCCGAUUCUUAAGCAUGUUUAAGUGAUGGAUGAGCAAGCUGGUUCCGAUACAGAGGCUUGUACAUGGAAGCCUGUCAGGAAUGGAAAAAAACUAGGUACAAGAACAGAUCAAAGUGGUCUUAUAGAACACAUUUUCUAAAAGUAUCAAGUGAUAGUGAUACAUAACUGGCGCACAUAGAUGAGUUGGUGAGAUUGAUCACCAGCAUGAUCCUAACAUUUCGUUGCCAUUACUGAUUUUAUUAAUGAAGCCUGCUGUUGAGUAUAUGUCCUAAUCAUGUAGAAAGAAGUUGUUUUAUAAAACAUCAUUAAGUUUGUUUCUCUUUGAUUCCUGAGAGAUAUGUUAUAUGGAUGGUUAUUGCAUAUUAGGUAUGACGGUGGGUACAUGUAAACUAGGUUGUAUUUCCCAAGUUUAUUGCACGUGAAAACUAGGCUAAUUGUUUAGCAUAUUUCAGGCAUCCAAAUUUGUUCCUAAGCAAAAGGUUUGAAGCUUACUGCAAUUGUGUAAAAACUUUGCAAAACUGUUCUUCAAUUGUUGAGUAUUCCAUCUGUUUAUAAAAUCAUCUAUAUGAAAUGAUAUUUGAACUUGCUAUAUUUUUAAUUUUCUGUUAACUAGAUUCAACUGUUUGCAUUAGAGAUUCUUCUAUUGUUGUCAAUUUACUAGAGCUUUUACAGAGAAAAACCUACCUCUGAUCACAAGACUGUUUUUGUCAAAGCUAUUCUGUUAUUUUCAUUUAAGCUUACCAAUUUUUCCAUUGAUCUCUCAGGUUAUGUUCAGAAAAUAACGACCCGGACGGACAUUGAUGUGAUGGAGAAUUUAGAUAAUGGAAAGCCUCCUUGACCGAUAACUUUUUUGAGAUCUUUACAGAUUUUACUUUGGAAUUUUGGGGGUCUCUUUUCCCCCUUAAUUGAUUCCGUUGUUACCCUCCACUGUUCUUGAUCUACAAGACUGAGAGAGCUUAGGACUGAUCAACUCGGCCUUCCCAUGAUACGAUUCCUGGCCAUUCCACCAAUAUAUACUUCAAUGUAUAUGAAAAUAUAAUGAAGCAAAAUUCACUUUUGGGUCGUCCAUUCAUAUGGUCUCUGUUUACUUUUCCUUUGUCAAGUUCUGUAACCAGUUUGGAUAUAAAGUUCUCUGAAGAGAAAAGAAGCAGAUUAUUAUUUUGAUUCAGGAUCUAAUGAAUCAGUUUUUGAGAAAGAAAGCUUGAAUAGGAACAGUUGGAUCUCAGCCUUUAUCAGUGGCAUCACAGCGGUCCUAUUUUUGUUGCUGUUUCUCUGUAAUCUCUCUGACUCGCAUAGGGUCACUAACACUUCUGCGUGAGGGAUGGUCUUUCUCAAGUUCAUAUUUGACGUAGAUAUUAGUUCAAAAUUCCGACAUAUUUAAAAACUGUCUCAUCCUCAUUGAAAUCUUAUGAUCGUUUUGACUAUUUAUGGGUCUUAAAAACUAUCAGAGUUUUUUGACUGAAUCAAUUCAGCUUUCUUCUGCUUAAGAUACUGUUUUUCCAAGACUUUGUUGUUGAAUUUAUCUGAGAUUUUCAAGCAAAAUAUAAAGGUUAUUCUUGACUGAAUGAUAAUCAGGAUUGUCAUUUUUUUAUCGUGCUGUCUUCAGAUGGUUUAUUUGAAACCAUAUUCAUGUGUAAUUAAGUUUGGUGAAAAUGCACAUAAUGGUUAACAUAUUUUGCAAAUUGACUUUCAUGCUAGAUGAAGUUGAUGUACUAACUCAUAUCAUAAAACCACAUUAUCAUAAAUGAACAGGAAGAACUGGAAGGUGUUUCAUAAUAUUAAAUAAGAGUAUAAAUGAGGGCUUACUUUCUGGGUCGCCUCAUCAGCAAUCAAACAUGAUUCUUUCUUCUCCCCACAAUCUAGAGGGCCAUGGUAAUUCCAUCUUUGCCAUGGCCUGUCCAUCAGAUCAAAAUAUCAAAGCAUUUAGGUUCCAUAGGAAAUCAAACAGAUGAUGCAUAAAUGCUCAUAAUAGCCUCCAUACCUCAUGAAUGUCAUACAUGAGUAAACACUAAAUCAUCAGUUGACUCUAAGGAGAUUGUCAAAGUCUGACUAGCUUGCUGUGCCUUUAUUAUUAUAUGACAAGGAUUAUUUAAUGGAGUAUUUGCCUCUUGUCUCACAUUUGACUAGUUACAUAGUUUGUAGCUUGGUAUAGAAGGUUCUUCUUAUGCUCAUGUUUACUCCUCUCCUCUCAUUAAUCCAAGACUAGUAGCCUCUUCAACAAUUUCAUUCUUGUGCCAUCAUCAAAGGUGACUGACUUUUUUAAUAGAAUUGAUGUAUCCCAGAUGAUAGAAGAAAAUUUUGAUUUAAUUUUGCUCAACACUUUUAUUUUAGGAAAAAAAUAAUUUUUAGAUUGAUUUCCUAGCAAUUUGAGAGUAGUGGAGUUACUUUAGUUUGCUAUGAAUCUUUUCAAGGAAUCUAUUAUUAAUCAAGUUGGAGAAGGAUUCGGUUUCUUCUCUUACUAAAGAGACGGGAUAAUGGUGGAAAUAGACUUUUGCCAAUCUACUUUUAAGGUGAUUUGGUUCUAGGAUGCCAAGUUGAACAGUCAAAGAUACAAUCAAGAGUGGGGUGAAUUUACAUGAACAAUGCUGGAAAAUAAUAAAGUUAUGCACAAAGAUGAUAAUAAUUUUUUAGUCUUAUGUCCUCUUACAAAAUAUAAUCGAUAUAAUAAAAAUAUAAUUUUAAUAAAAGUUUUACCUAAUCCAUAGAAGCAAUGCCCUUGAGUUACAUUCUCUCAUAUUGUACAAUAGUUGAAGCAUAAUAUGCUUAAAUUGCCUCUCGAAGACUAAAAGGCUCUAAACAAGUUGUGUAUUAAGUACUUAUUUCUAGAUUCAUGACUCUAAAAGACUGAAACCAUAAAGUUUCACUUACCUCAUUUAUAUUCAUGAGUUAAAAGUGCCAAAUACUAUUAGCACCCAAGUGGGGUACUUAUAGACUUAGGAUUAUAAGGGGCCAGAUGCUAGGAUUUUAUUGGGAACUCACCAUUUUUUGUUGACAACAUUAUAAUAUAUUGACUACUCAUAAAAGACCAAAACCAAGAAGUCUCACUUACCUCUUUUAUAUUCAUGAUUUAAAAGUGCCAAAUAAUAUUAGCACCCAAGUGGGGUACUUAAUAGACUAAGGAUUAUUAGGGGCCAAACGCUAGAAUUUUACUUAGAACUCAUCCUUUUAUGCCAACAACAUUAUAAUAUAUUGAGUACUCAUAGGUAGUGACAAGUGGUGAUAGUUUCCUCCCACUGAGAAUCCAUACAAGAUACAAAGACGAAAUUUUUUACUCUUAAAAUACCUACAACUUUAAUAGAGGAACUUCUAUGUAGUGAGGAUAAUGUAUGCCCUGAAUUAGAAGGUCAAUAUAUUACAUCAACAUUAUUGAGUUUUUUGAAGAAGAUCAAAAAUGAAUUUCCCUCUUUAGGAUUUAUAAAGGUUCAUAGAUAACACUAAUGAUAGUUUGAAAUAAUAGCAGAAUUAACAAUAUAAUAGGAAAUGGCUUUCUUUUGGGGCAUUUCAAAGCACAUGGUUUGUACGGGAAUUUCCCUAACCCACUCCUACUUCCUCACACAUUCACUUCAUGGAGGGGUAAAUAUUUUGUUGGAAACUUGGACAAGAUCCAUUUACCCAAUGAUAUUGGCGGCAAAGAAAGCAUUAAAGUCAGACAUUUAAUAGGAAUUAAACAAUUUUAUGGCAUGCCCCAAAUUUAGGAACAUAAAUAAAUAAAUUUGUGGGACAACUAGACAAUGAUGGUAGGGUGACAACCUUCCUUAAUUGUCAAAGGAACCUUCCAAGGGCUUAUGGUGAUACCAUGAGUGAAGAAUGUAAGAGGAAGAUCUUAGUUGUGACAAUACAACUUUUGCUGCCAUCAAAGUCAAUGGAAUGGCCCUUGGACUAUCAACUUGGGGAUAUGAUUGCAAAGACAAUGAAAGUGUUGACCUCUUAAGGGCAUGAUAUCAAGGGUUGAAUCACAAUAUCUCAGUCUAUGUAAAAAUUCUAACAUUAUUACAAAACAGGUCUAUUUUUUGCAUAAGAGAAGAGAACCCAAGAUGUCUCAGUUGAAGUUGGUACAUAUAAAUGUGUGGCAACCACCUUCAUCAAUGACAGUACCCAGAAGGUACAUGAUUAUUUUCUACGAAAAAUAAAUUAAAUGUCCCAACAACGUUAGAAAUGUGGAAACAUCAAAUUGAAAAAUGAAAUCAGUAUGAAAGGGAAGUGUUUGAAGUCAACAUAAGUCAAUAUGAUGCCAAAGUGAUUAAAUGUAAGAGGAAAACCAUAUAAGAUGAUGCCAAAAAAAAAUGGCAUCAAUGAAUUCAUGGAUAAAACAUUGAAUGAAUGUGCUUAUUUAUUCCACUAAACCAUUGAAUGAAGGUUGACCAUUCAUGUCUUGGGGGCUUUGACUAGGAACAAGAUGGAUCAUAUGCUAAGGGAAAGCUCUUGCUUUAUUAUCUGGGUUCGGCCAUUGUUUCUGCCAUCUGUGCAAGAACUGGGUUGUGUUGGAAAAAUAGGACGGAGAGAUCUUGGAAGGAGGCGCCCAUAGAAAUCUGGGCAGAUUACAGUGAAAAUUUUCUGCUCCAAGAAGCUAAUAUAUACAGUACGAAUGUAAUUUUUAAACUUUUUCGUGUUUAAUAUAGAAAUUGUUCUUCCGAUGGCACCGAAUAAGAUAAAAAAUCGCAGUCUUUAAUGCGGAGAAGAACUGGGGCGCGGGCUUUUUGAUGGGUUAUAUAUGCCGGUGGAUUCGCCGCGCGCUGCCGUUGUUGUGAGAUUGUCAGGGAAGUACGAGACGAACUGAGGACCCCGUCGAGGACGGCGGUGUGGGGAAGACGAGCGAGCGACCCCAUUGGCCGUCCGGGGCGCGGUGAUUCCAAAGGCGUCAUUUUUCGACGGCUGGCGGUGGCGUUUGCUCAGCCCAGUUCUGGUACUGCGCAAUCCUCUCUCUCUCUCUCUCUCUCUCGACCUCCGCUCGAGUACGCACGGAAACCAUCUAUAAAUGGCUGAGAUCCGUCUUCCUUCGGGGUCUUUCCUCGCUUAAUGCCCCUUCCCACGCCUUCUCUUUCUCUCGCUGCCUCUCCCCUUUCGGCUCUCUCUCUGUCGGUUGAUUGAUCCUCUCUGGAGGCUUCACAGUUGGCUCAGAACCUGCAUCUGGGAGUCUCUUCCGUCGUCCUUCCUCGGGAUUCGCAGGAUCAGUUGCAUUUCCUUGUAGUCGAUUUCUCCAGGCCGGUGACCAGAUGAAGUCAAAUGUGAGUAGGUUUUGCUGAUAAUACGCCUCCAGCCGCACCAAAAAACUUUUACGUAGCUUGAGACCUUGCAGUCGAGACCAGGCCCAAUUCAAUGCACAGCGGGGAGGCGCUUCUCGUGCGUAAUGGAUUCCUGUGCGUGAUAACACGAGUGAGAAGCCGGAAUUUCGGUCAUUGAUCCGGUAAAAAUGUAUCUCAUUGAUUUGUGUCAGACAAUUCUGAUCCGGGCUGAUAGUUUCGUUCUACCAAUGAUCCGUCUUGAGUUAUUUCAAUGAAAAUAAGGAAAAAAAAACGCAAAAUGGGUUGCUGCCAUGUCUGUGCUCUGUGUGGAUGAUUCAUAUUAGGUCAAAAAAGUAGUUCUGAACAUAGUAAAGGAGGAAACCAUGAGCUAAGUAAUAUCUAUCCUAAAGACUGCCUGGCCUUAGAUUGAUAUGUUUUAAUGCCUCUGUAGGAGCCGAAGAUCUGUAAUAUUCUUCAUUCAUUAGAAUUGAUUGGCUUCAUUCAUUAGACAUCUUUCAUGUCUUUAUGGCGGUUUUGAUUUCCUUUGGUCAGACUGGUUUGCCUAAUUAAAAUGUAAAGUUGAUCCGUUUUAUGAUGGUUUCAGUUUUUCUUUUGGAUUGGCUGGCUUUCAUAAAAAUCUAAAGACCCACACAUGUGGAGUUCAAAUGGUUUUGUUGGAAUUUAUCUUACAAGCUAAUCAGUUCCAUCAGGCAACUUUAGAUGAUACCCAAAUGGAGUGGGUCGAAACGAAAUGAAAAUCAUUCAAAGUGAGUUCAGAUUCAGUUUUCUUAUUUCUCUGAGAAGAUGCGUGCGGGUGACUAUUUGGUCUAGGAAGAAGGAAAAGCUAUGAGAUCAGAGGAAAGUACGGUUGGUAGAGGUUAAAUUGAAUGGCGCUGCAGUUUAAUGGGGGAAGAGAAUUGAAGAACAGUCAGCCCGGGAAGCCCAAGAUCUGCUCAUGGCUGCACUUCAAUGCAAAGUUAUGGCAGCGAUUUUUUUCUGGCUGAUUAUGUGAUGAAGUCUCACAGCUUGAAGCAAAGAGGGAUGGGAUAACUGUAUAUAUGGGUUUAAUAUUCUUAGAUGGUGAAAAAGCUAGUUCUAGUGCUAUGAGUAGUUCUUAGAUGGGUGACAAAUCCAACUGGAGGCUAAAUCUAACAUGAAAGCCAGAUGUAAACCAUUAAAUUAAUGCUGAUGCAGUUCAGUUCGGAUUUGGCUCUGGAUUUCGAGCUAUAAAUUUCACUUUUUAAAAAUGAGGUCUUGUUUCUUAGCAAAUAAAGGUCUCCAAAUAUAGUGCUGAAGCUCAGAGCCAUAAGACCUAAUUUAAGAGAAUUAUAUUAAUGAGGUAAAUGAUGAUACAAUCACAAUGAUGGAUACUGAUUGAACCUAAGUUGAAGAUGAAUGUGGAGUAGGGAUAGUAUCCUCCAAAUUAGGACGUUUUGGCAGUACCAGCGUUCAUAAUCUACUGCUUGAUGGGUUUGCAGUAAACGAAAAAUCUUGGCAUGAUCUAGCAAACAAUGCAUUGUGUCUUCAUUUUUAGCCAUUCCAUUCGUCCUGAUGCAUGUGAAAUGGAUUUCAAUGUUUUGUAGGCAGAUGAAACUGUAUCGUCUCCUUUGUAGUUUCUCUCUCCCUCUGUACCUUGCUCCUAUGCUUUGUCUAGCGACCACGGGGUUAUUAUUGUUUCUUUCUCUUGGGGACAAUCUUUUUCUUUUAAUUUGAUUGUUUCCAUGUCAAUUUCUGCAGGUAUAUCUGGUUCCUGAAAUGCUGAGGCAAAUCUCUGGCUAGAAAAACUAUGGUAAAUUAUUUGGAAUUUGAACCUGAAGAAAUCACCCCUCUUUGGGAACUACAGGAGGUAAAUAUCAUUUGUUUCCCCUCUGACGAAUACUUAGAUAUCAAGUAAUAACGAGAAAGACUGCAGUUGAUUAAUUUAAAUACUCUUUUAUGAGUGAUAUUCUUGCCAUUAUUAUAGUUAACCUUAUUCAAAUUGCGGUUUAUUUUCUUUCAUUUCAGUCAUCAUAGACGUGCGGCUGUACAUUAUUGGCAAAGAUGCAGCGUGCUCCAGCUACUUCGGAGGAACAGCUAUUUUUCAAAGCUAUCAAGGAAGAAUGUCCUUGGGAAAAUCUUCCUAAACGACUUCAGUCAUCUUUGUCUACGAGAGAGGAAUGGCAUAAAAGGUUGCCUCUAAUCUCACUUAUUAUCUGACAAUGGAGGGGAUGUUUACCGAUCAGUAAUCUUUAAUUAUUGAACCUUUUAGUGGCAUUGAUUAAAAUUGGUCAUUGUACCUUUUUAUGGCAGAAGCUUAUGAUUAGCCUUGUCAAUCUAUGAAGUUAUCCAGUAGGGUUUUAUCCAUAUUGCAUCAUGUUAAUAGCCAAAAGCUUGUGCAUCCACUGUAUCUCCUAUUGUAUUGAGCUACAAUAAUUAUAGACAAUCAGCGACAGGAAAUUAUUUUUAUCUGUUUCUAUAACGGUUCCUUAGCUAUACAUAUCGUGACUAAUUCAUUCGACAUCAAAAACGAGGUUUUCAAUGGCCUUUAAGUGCUCACUUUUUUUCCUUUGUUGUUCACUAUUUUUCUUAAUUAGCUUUCUUGUAAUGUUUCGUUCCUUUUGAUUCGCUUUUUCUUUCUUAGGUAAUGCUCAAUACAGUAUUUUUCUACCGCAGUUUUAUGGACUCAGGAGUUACAAUUUACUCCGUUUCCUGGUCAUAUAACAACAUUAUUUGUGGUGCGAUUUUGAUUGUGAGCUUGAUUUACUACCCGCCACUUUCUUUACAGUGUAUUGUCUUACCAGGUGGGUUAGAAUUUUUUGUUCCUCCGUUUCUCCCAUCUUAACUCCUCAGUCAAUGUGUGCUAGGUGACUACUGAGUAUACCUGACAUUAGUCAGAUGAUAUAUUAAAAUUUAUUCAUGCCCUCAUUGAAUUCAUGAGGAUAUCAUGAUUUUUCCUAUUAAAUAAAUUUACUCUUGAUUUGUGGGGUUGUAGGAUUUUCAUCAUGGACUCGGAUUGUGCUCUUGGGAUGGCUUCUCUGUUUCUUUUAUCAUUUCAUUUAAAGGACAGGAUGAGAACCUGAAGACUUAGCAAUAAAAUGCAUCAUCUGAAGGAUAAAUUUGUUAUAGUACAUCAAUACAAAUAUUACGUACGGGACAUGGACCCUGUCACUCUCAUUGGAGACAUGUAACUUAAGUAAAUAACCUUAUAGUGAUCAAAUUUUUGACAGCUGAAUACCUUGAUAGAAGUGGUUGCAUAAGUUAACAUGAUUGAAGUUGGGGGAGGGUUCUCACAACUAUGGUUGGACAGACAGUGACACUUUUACUGUUCUCUCCAGGAUAGAACUUUUAUUCUUAGCUUUCUCUUUGUCAGAUCUUGUUAGGUUGAAAGAUAUGAUUUCUUUCUUCUUACUUUGUGUUCACAACUGUCAGCAAUCAUUACGCUAGCUAUUUCUUUUUUUCUAAACCUUCGCAUCUUUGUUCGCAGGAUAGUAGACCACUGCAUUAGGAAACGACUGCAGUGGAAUACAUGUUUUGCUCGUAAGGUCUGUAAGGAAGGAGAAUAUUAUGAAGAGAUGAUGCGAUACCUGCGUAAGAAUCUAGCGGUGUGUACUGAGACCAUAUUUGAAAGUUUUAUGAUUUCUGAUCAUCAGUAUUUUUUAUUAGGACACUCUCUAGGGUAGAGCUUAUGUGCUCAUUUUUUAUUUGCUGUCUAAUUCUAUUAUGAUAGUCCAUAGAAUUUAUUUUCCAAUAUAGGGCACGAAUUUAUUCUUUUUUGUAUUUCUAUUUUCAUUUGCUUAAGUGGGUAGAAUUUUUGAGGUCAUGAUGUGAGAUAAUGAAGAAGAAGACGAAUUGUAAAAUCUGGACCCGUUAUCAUAUCUUUGUGCUAGCUUGAGGAGGAAGGGAUAUUUGACCAAAGAUGCUUGAUGGGGUUGUCCAGACGUUCUGUUGGGUUGUAUAAAGCUAAACUUUAGAAAAGUAAUUAAUGUGAGGCCAUCUGUUCCUAUCUAACCUAUUUUUUUUCUCAAAUUCGGAUUAUUCACUCAAUCCUUUGUUUUUCAGUUAUUUCCAUAUCAUCUUUCGGAGCAUAUCUGUCGAGUAAUGAGGAUCUCACCCUUCAGAUAUUAUUGUGACAUAAUCUUCGAAGUUAUGAAGAAUGGUACGUGCUGGCCUUACUGGAUCUAUUUUACUCUUGAGUUUUAAUUAACAAGCUAAAUUUUGAUGGUCUCAUUCACUUUGGUGUAUGUUAUGCCAGUGAUGGCUGUCAAAAUCAAAAAUGGUUUAUUCGAACCACAUGUUAUUAUUGGCAUAUGUUCAGUGUGGAUUGUAGUUUGCCACUUUGAAAUUGGAUAUUCCUAUCAAAUUUCAAUUUUUUUAGUGCUACAACUGUUCUCAAACUUUGCAGCUUUGUCAGAAUUCAAGGCUUGGUUGCCCACAUGUUAUUUUUAUCCUAAAGUCAUUUGGUCUCCAUAACCCCCUGAUUGACCUGUUAAUUCAGUUCCAAGUUGUCUUUAUAUGAAACGUCCAAUGGAUUUAUGGAGUUCUUGUUGUCCAGAAAGAAUAAUUUGUUCUAAUCACAUAAGUUAUUCUCACGUGAAUAGGGUCUUUGUAUUGCUAUGUUCUUCAAGAUGACUGUAGACCUUGUUCUUCAGUACAUCAUACUCAAUCUCUCAAUCAUUAGGUCUUCCUUCCCUUAUCAAACCAGGUUCCUGUCUGACAGCCCAAGUCUUUUUCUUAUCCUGGAUGGUGGACCUAAUUUUAAGUUUGGCAUAAUUGAAGAAUGAUGUAUAUUUUGGUCAGCGGACCAGGUCUUUAGAUUGUUCGCAAUUUUAAAGCCAGUGGUAGUGUGUCCGUGAUGACUUAACCUCUUUCAAGUACCCUUCGUUUUUCUAAAUUUUUUAAAUUCUAGACUAAGUUCGUCUGUUGCAUCUUUUGAUAAAUAUAGACUAUUAGUCAUAAGGGUUUACUUUUCAUCACCUCGGUGCCAUCAGUGAAUAAUUUUCUUAGUCGCUAUUUGGAUUCAGAUUUAUGUCUAAAGCUAAUCCAAUUUUUAUAUGUUAGCUUGGGUUUAACCAAAUUCAUUAGCAGAAUUUUUAAGUAAUAUUUUCAGGCCAAAAUAUGAUUUUUUGGAAUCUAGUUCUAAGUGGAAAAAAAAAGUGUUCUGCUAUCCUUGAGUUUUUGGAAAUGUCUCCACUUACACUUUGCCUUGGGCUUUUGUUUGGAUUUUAUCUACUGUUGGUAAAAUUUUGGUGAAAAAGUAAAAGAAAAGGGGAUAGUCUGAGUUUAGCCACCUCAUGACUUUACCUCCAAGAGCUAGAAAUCAAGAAAAAAACCAUUUGGGUCCAUUCCUUGGCAAUCAUGGAGUCCCCUGAAAGUUAUCAUUGCUAUGCAGUCAAAGUUUAAAGCUGUGAAUUUGGUGGUAAACCUUUCCAGGGUUAUUGGGACCACUCAUUUGAUGUUGCUUCUCGUAGAGUACAACUCUUUUCUGAAGUUGUUAUAUGUUUAACACAUUAUGUUUUUGAUGCCACAGUUGAUCAUAGGAAAUAUUAUUCAUUCUCUUUGACAUUCCAUUCAUAUUUAAAUAUGUUAUUUUCUAGAAAUUAGCCUCAGUUUCUUUAGCAGCUGAGGAUGUCUAUGCAUCAUACCUGUUUUCUCUUGCAGAGCAACCGUAUGACAGCAUACCCAAUUUCAGUGCUGCUGAUGCCUUGAGACUUACUGGGAUAGGCCGAAAUGAAUUUAUUGAUAUAAUGAACAAAUGUAGGUCAAAGGUAUCCGCCACAACCCAAGAUACUUCAUAGACUUACUUAAUUGGUGAUUUCUGUAAUUUUUUUCAUGGAUUUAUGCAUUUAUCAAAUUUCGAUCUAGAUGUAGGACGUAGGUAAAAAGUAUUCAUAUACAAAUCAAUAGUUUGUUCAUCAAUGGAAUUGCAUAACACAAUACCUGAUACAGUGACACAAAUGUACAUCUAGAUGUAAUCAGUCGUUGCUAAUUUUUGUUGGCAUUUUACCGUCUUUGUUAGACAUCAUUUCGUAGUAUCUUCGGUUCAGCUUGGAAAAAAUCUGCCCUUAUCUCUCGUCAAUGAUUUUUUGUUGGUGAAGAAUUUGUACUGGGUUUUUUUUAUGCCGAUUCUUUUUGUUGCCCUGUGGCUCACCUAUGAUGGACCUACGGCUAUUGUAUGUAAUUGGUGAAGUUUAUGACAAUUUUCGUGUCAAAUAAAUAGCAGUUUGGGGGUCUCCUGUGGUCUAGAUCUUCGGGGUGGAUGGAAUCCCACAACCAAUUCAUCACAUUUAAUAUUUCCUUUAUGAGAUGUCACUCAUAGUAGAAGCGCUAUUGAAGGAACAUAGAAUCCUAUGUAACGUCCCCCAUUGUCCAACGGAUUACUGUACUGAACCUGACAUCACAUUCCUUGCCGAAGACAAUGCUCAAAGAUGUCGAAUUUCUGAAUCUCUUUGCCAUCUGGCAUGCAAUACUUACUCAAUUCUACAAAGCCUUGGUCUAUUUUAAGGCCCAUUUGUAUGUGCUAUGAUAUUAGUGUCAUCAUCUUAGACAAAAGCCACAUCUACGCCUUGUAUCAUUUAGUUGCCUAGAGGAUCAAGUAGGCUUCCAUCAAGCUCUCUUCUCAUCACAUGCAGUGCACCUAGGAAAGUCUUUAAAUUCCACCCUCUGAUGGUUGGUGACAAUCAUAAGAAUCUAAUGCAGUAAAAGAGAUGAGCAUGUUUGUAAGUCAGAAAUAUGGGGCCAUACUGAGGAAUCAAUCACUAGGACUGCUCACUUUCACCUUGACAUGUAUUCCUUUCCAUAGUCCCUUUUUCAUGCCCUGUUCUAUACCAUGAGUUGAUAUGAUUGGCCAUUUCAGUUCUUUAAAAUUUUGAGAUGCCUUGAUGUCUUCCACAUAAAAUGGUAUCUGUGAAAUGCUCAGAGGGAGGCAAUUAGCAUAAUAACAAAAUGAAAACUUGGUAUUGACACUUGAUAUAACACCAAGAGUUUUCACAUCCACGGUAGUUCUAUUAAACCGUUUCAUGUGAUCAACAUUGGGCAUUUUUUUUCAUGUAGUGUAACGCCUUUUGCUUCAGAUAUCCAAUUGUUCAGAGUGUAAAAACAUAUGGUCACAUGCCUUUAUGCUACUUUGAACUGGAGUUUUGUCGCAGUAGCUUCAUCAGCCUGCUCUCUCAACUCAUCAAAUGUUAGGGAUGGACGACUUGUACUUUGAUCACACUCUAAGUGCUUCCUUGUCAUCAUUCUUUCAUUCAGCAGAUAAUAUAUCUGUGUCCGUGACUAUCUUGCCUAAUCCUUGUACGAAUUGGGUCUGUAUUUUUGGUCUCAAGAUAUUGAACACUGUCACCUUCCCAUGAGAUACCAUUAUGUCUUAGUUCUGAAGCUAACCUCAUAGUUGUAGCUCUAAGAUAUCGGCAACCGGAAGAUCAAACACUAUUUUCUUGUUACCUGUGGUACUUACGAAAUUUUGGGUUCAAGUUUUGAACAGGUAGACAAAAUUUUAUGCAUUGAUUUCUAGAACCUGCUUCAAUGCUCAUUUGCCCUAUGGGAUGAAAGAAUGGGGCAGAAGUUAAACAUGUACACUCAUGAACCACAAGGUGUACCACAUAUGAACAGAGUUUUUGCAGUUUGCUGGCUCACCCGUACAUCCACAGGAGGUAGCAGUCUUUGAACUUCUCCAGAUUUCAAGAAAGUGCAUUGGGUCUCAGUCUGACCAUAAAGUAGGAAAAGGAACUCUAUGAUUUCUGUCUCCACAAGAUAUUCCCUCUUUAUUUCCUCCCUAAAAAGAGGAGAAGCACCUCCAUAGCCUAUGAUGGAAUCAAGAUUCUGACAUUAAGUAUUUUGUCUCCUUCUGUACUCUCAUCGCUCUUUAGAGAGGUUCUUGCGUUAGGAUCAGAUCCUUUCCACCCUGGACUUUUAUCUGUUUCCUGAUAAAUCUUUCCUUGUUUUAUAUUUUGCUCUCCCAUGUAGUGUUGUGAUGAGAAGGAAAAUUUACAUAAUUUUCCCACAACACCUACUUCCUCAUUAAGCAGAACUUAAAGGUCCAGUCAGUCCAAUGGCUUCAGGUUUACUUCAGUAUCCACUAUGCAGCCGGCAUGAUGAACCGUUGAAACAAUAUUGUUUUCUAUUCGCAAAAGACCACUAAUGAAUUUAAUGCAAAGGCGGAAUUUAUACUAGAUUGCUCGUUUUUUGCGUAUUAAUAAUUAGUACUUUCUACUUAGCUUGAGCUCUAAGAGGGCUGACACUUGGUUUCUUAAGUUUUAAAUUCAUAUAAUAAAAUAUUUAACGUUUGUUUUCAAUUUUCUGCCAUGUGGUCCAUCCAGAAAAUUAUGUGGAAACUGAACAAGUCAAUAGCUAAGGAAUUUCUACCUACGCAACCAGUUGAUUUUUUAAUUGAGCCAUGGUGGGGAGUUUGUCUUGUCAACUUUACCCUGGAAGAAUUUAAGGUAUGCAUGACAGUUUUCCUCUUUCUAACCUGAAAAAUGUGUAUAGAAAGAUAUACUUGCAGAGAAAAUUUAUAUCUUGCUUCGUUCUUUAUUGAUUCAGUUAAGAUCUCUUCUUGCUAUGCAGAAACUCAGUGAAGAAGAGAGUGCGACCAUAGAUAAAAUCUGUAAAGAAGAAGCAAAUUCAUUUUUUCUUUUCGAUCCUGAUGUCAUAAAAGGUCUUUACCAGAGGGGUCUUAUUUAUUUCGAUGUUCCAGUUUAUCCUGAUGACCGUUUUAAAGGUAUAUUAUCUGGAGCCCCUUUGUUUUUUGGCUGUUUUAUCAAGUCUUCAUCUUGAAAUCACUAGACAGAAUUUUGCGGCUGUUGUGUUUAGAAUCAGAUUUUAUUUCGUGGAGCAUUGCUUUGCUCUCAGAUUUUUAUCACUUUGCUCUUCAAUAGUAUGAAGGAAGCCUAUGAAGCCGUGUACUGGUCCCUUUUCAGCAUGAAAUUUGGUUUUUAGGAGUAGCCAUUGUGUAGCUGAUGCAUUGGGCUGCUAUCCCUGUGGAAACUGUAGCCCACUAUUUCGAUCUAUCAUGCUUUCAAAUUUCCUUUUGAAAGGUAUCAUUCUAUGUAAGAUGACUUUCACAGUACAUAAGAAUAAAUCGUUCCUUGUGUUUUCAUCUGAGUGUUGAUAUUAACCAGACGAAAAGCUAAGUUCUUUUCAUGGAAGUGUUGCAUAAUGUUAAGACUUUUCGUAAGUAACACGGGUUUUGAUGCUCGUAGAAAAUCCAUGUGACAGCGGCUUUAAAUGUACACACUUUGUCCUAGUUUCUUUCGCCAAGAUGAUGCAACAGGAUGCUGUUGUUGCCACCAAAGGAAACUAUAAAAUUCAGUUUUUUUUUGCCAAUUUUAUUUGUAUUUUGGUAACAGAAACCUAGAAAUGAGUGUAGUUUGUAGUUCAUCUUGAUUUUUCUCAUUUUUAAAUUCUAAAAAUCAGGAUCAUUUGGUCUACUUAGAGGAACCAGCAAAGCAUAAUUAAAAACUGAAUACAACUAGUUCUUAUGCGUCUAUGCUAUGCAAUUUGGAUAGAUAAAAAUCCAAUCAUCUUAUUUUUUUGGAAAUGUCAGUUAUCCUUUCAUUUAUUGUUGAAAAUUUGCGCAUUAAAUGUUUUAAUCGGAGGACAGUGUCUUCUCAUCAAAUUAAAUAUUAUAUGACCGUAUAUGUAAUAAACUGGAUAAGAGUUAAGGAAAAUAGGAUGUACUUUAUAAAAAUUGAAAUCGGUUAUGUUGCUUCAUCCUUGAUUUACAAGAAGGUAUCUGCUGUUCCUUUUUUCUAGUUGUUACUUUCGUGCUUAUCUUCUCUCUAGUUAUUGUCUUCUUUUCAGAUUGUUAAUUCCAUCCUCGUGCAGUUUCCAGACUAGAGGGGUUUGUUUCAAAUAGGGAGCAAAGUUAUGAAGACCCUAUAGAAGAGUAAGUUCCUCUAAAAUCAUCCUUAUGUGACAAUUUUUUGUAUUAUUUUAUCCCCCUAUUGUUGUGUUUUAGAAUUUGCCGUGUGAAAUGAAUACUUUAACCUUUCUGCAGGCUGCUCUAUGCUGUUUUUGUUGUUUCAAGUGAGAAUGCAACUGUUGCUGAACUGGCUGCCACAUUACAAGCUGACCUCUCUCAGCUACAAUCUGCUGCAUCUUUUGCCUGUCGACUAGGCUGGGCUGUCAAGGUGAUUGAACCAGCAGCUAUUCUUGGGGAUUCUUCCUUAGCAAGUUCUACCACUUUACUAAGUGAUGACGAAGAUGCCAGUAACGGCUUAGUUAGUGUGACGACUGCUGCUGAUCCUAUUCAACAACGCAAUGGCUCACAUGGUUCCAGUGCCACUCGUAUUUGUUUAAUUGUGGAUGCAAAUAUCACAUCCUAUCUGAUGAUGGGCUCACUUUCUCCAGGUUUUACCUCUGCUGCCAGCUUCAUAGAUGGUGCAUUUAACAUAUUUGCUUGAUUGGUGGGUCAAACAUGUCAUUUAAAAAACGUUACUAUUUAGUGUGGCCUAUUUCAUGUUUCUCUUCUAGAGAUGCUUGUCUAUAAAAGUAGCCAAAAAAUGCAUGUUCUAACCUCAGUUGCAUCCUCACGGUUCUUCUUCCGUUUUAAGUGGCCAUCUGUAUUUGCUCUGCAAAUUUCCAUCUUAUUAAGGAGGUUGAGCAUAUAACUUUCUUGAAGGAGUAAUUGACAUGUAAACUAAAUUCCGUGAAGGCUGUCAUGUGAAAUUGACAUUAAUAGGAGCACCUAGUAAGAAAUCACCUUUUUUUCGCGAUGCUUUUUGAUGGGGAAGAGAAGCUGAAAUAAACUUUGAUGGAAGCUAUCGACACUGAUCUGGAAAUAGCCGUGUAUAGAAACACGAUUACGCCGGGUGAAUUUAUGACGAUGACAACAAUGAUUUCUGCAGCGUAGUAGUGCUGCAGUGCUCAUUAUCGGCCUAGGUUGGCCAGAUGAAAUACUGGUAAAGAUCUGAAGCUUCUGUGCAAGAUUCUGUACGGCCUUAGAAAACUGGUGCGCCACAAGGUUUUCCCUCAUAAAUAUUCUGCCUCAAUGGGAAGGCAACACUAAUGCGAACUAGAAUUCAGAAGAUUUUUUCUUCCUGGUCAUGUCAGUGUUGUAUACUGGAGUUCAUGAGAUCUUUGUCUCAUUGUGAGGGUCACUAGGCUGUUUCUUAAGAGUAUUAAAAUCUUCACAUUUUGAUUUGUAUAAUUAGAAGUUUUUUCUAUUCCUUAGUGAGAGUUUUGUCUUGGACUAUGAAUGAUCUUCAUUAUGUAGUCCACACCUUUGUAUGCAUCACGUCUCCUUUCUUAAUGUCAGGUCCCACUUUACAAUCAGUAUUUACUGAUGCUCAUUCAGAUUUUCUUUCCAUCAACGUUCUGUUUCUGCUUCACUAUGACUCCCAACAGAUGUCAUCAUGCUUAUUCUACAAGUCCUAUUCUCCGCCCAAAACAUGUUUCCUUCUUUUUGUAUAAAGGGACUUUGAUACAGGAAAAUGACUUUACAGUAUGUGAAAUUAUAGUAAAGAGAAAGGUAACACUUGAUGCAAGGGCUAAUUAUCCUCUUUUAAAGAGAUUAGUUAUUUUGCUGCUGCGCUCGAUUUUGGCAAACCCUGUAAAUGAAUCUUCACAUGUAUGCAAACCAAAUAAGAUGUUUCUUGGAUAAUUUUUGCUUGCAUCAACUAGCGCCACCCUUACCCCAGCUAAAGGAUAUAAAAGCGUCAAGGCUAAUGGUUUACAGAUUAAUGUUGCUGAGGUCAUAGUCAUUUAGUUUCUGAGCAAAGAUUUCUCUUGCAUACUUCUGUAAAGCGUUGUUUAGUUUGAACUCCACCAGUUUGAUUGAUUAGAGUGACCGUUUCAUCUGACUAUCCUAAAUUUAAGGGCUUCUAUGCCUGUAAACGACAUUGAAGGAAUAAUUUUAGGCAGACUUAUGUGGUCAUGCGGUUGUUUCAAUUUUCAUAGCCAUGCUGUAUGUUUAUGGUAGUAUUUUCCAAGUAUUCUUAGUAGGUAGAUAACGUGCCAUCUCUUGGACACUGAAAAUGAUUAAUGACCGAUUGAAUUUUUCAGUUCAGUGAUGCAUCGAUAGUAGAUCAUGCUACUAACUAGUUGUAAAUCUGACAACCGUUUGAGUCCCUUAUAAUUUAUUUCUCUGUUCUGUUCGGUUACUUGAACUAAGUCUGUGUUGUUAUGCCUUCCAUAUGUUGUUAACCAAUCAGACAGUUUUUUCUGCUCCAAAUAAUUUUUUCUGGUCAUUUUUUCAACUAGAUACCCUGUCAUGUCCACAAAAGUGAACCAAGGUCGUUCAGAUGUACCUUUAAUCAUGAUUUUUCCUGGAAGGAUAUAUCUUUUACAUGACACGUGAGGAAAGUUUGACGUGACACUUAGCAUCUUAGUACAUGAUUUUGGCUCACUUCCAUGGUACUUAUCCUUCGCAGGACUGAAAUCCCAUGCAGUAACGCUAUAUGAAGCAGGAAAACUCGAUGAUGCCAGUAUUUCGGACCUUUGCAAGGAUCUGGCUACAUUGGAAGGGAAAAAAUUUGAGGGGGAAUUGCAGGAAUUCGCUAAUCAUGCAUUUAGUCUUCGAUGUGUGUUGAAAUGUCUCCAAUCAGGUGGUGUUGAAGUGGAUGAACUGGAUGGGAAAUUAUCAAAUUCUAGUGGCGCUUCCCACUUAUCCAAGGAGGAUGCCAUCAAUGAGUCUGCUGACUCUGAGAAAUAUGUCACAGAUGGAAAUAAGCACCUGCUUCUUGAAUCAUCUCAGGGUGAUUCCAUUUCAUCUGAGAUUGGGGUGACGACUGAUAAUCAGGCAACCGAUGCAUUGCUGCCUGAAAAUCAGGACAUAAUUCCGGGUGACGAGGCUUCAUUUUCAACUGGUGGUAAGUUGUUAAGUGAAAAAGACAACUUAACUGGAAAAAAGAGCUACCAUGUGAAUAUCCUCCGCUGUGAAAGCCUCGCUGCUCUUGCUCCAGCUACUUUAGAUCGGCUAUUUCUUCGGGACUAUGAUAUUGUUGUGUCCAUGAUCCCACUUCCCUCUUCCUCUGUUCUACCUGGAUCUGCUGGUCCUGUGCACCUUGGCCCGCCCUCAUACUCAUCGAUGACUCCUUGGAUGAAGCUUGUACUGUACACAACCAUGGCUAGUGGACCACUCUCAAUUGUUCUCAUGAAGGGUCAGUGCCUGCGAAUGCUUCCUGCUCCACUAGCUGGUUGUGAGAAAGCUCUGAUAUGGUCCUGGGACAGAUCUGUUGUUGGAGGCUUGGGAGGCAAGUACGAGGGGAACUUGGUCAAUGGAAGUAUUCUUUUGCAUUGUCUGAACUCACUUCUGAAGCACUCAGCUGUGCUGGUACAGCCCCUGAAUAAAUAUGACCUUGAUGAGUCUGGAAGGACGGUCACAAUGGAUAUUCCACUGCCUUUGAAGAAUUUCGAUGGGUCAGUUGCUAAUAGUGGGGAGAUGGGUGUUUGUAAGGAAAACAGUGCAAAGCUAAAUCUUCUCCUACAUGAACUGUCUGAGAAACUAGAACUAUGGACAGUAGGGUAUAUACGUCUUUUGAGGCUGUGUAAGGAGAGAGAAAAUCAUCACUCUGCUUCCCAUGAUGAAAAAUAUGAAUGGGUUCCCUUAAGCAUAGAAUUUGGGAUUCCACUGUUUAGUCCGCAGUUAUGCAGGCGGAUAUGUGAGAGGGUUGUUUCCUCACGUCUGCUUCAUACUGAAUCAAUUACUGAGCAUCAUGAUUCUAUGCAGCGUUUGAGAAGAAGACUCAGUGAUAUCUGUUUAGAGUACCAAGCAAUGGGUCCCACGGCGAAACUUUUAUACCACAAAGAGCAAAAAGACCAGCCCAAAGAGCCAUCCCGCCAGUUAAUAAACUAUGCUAGUGGGAGGUGGAAUUCUAUCUCAGAGCCAUCAAUGGCUCUAUCUGAAACGUCCAGUGAACAUCAGAGGUUAAAGCUUUCUAAUCGACAGCGGUGUCGUACUGAAGUUCUCAGUUUUGAUGGAAAUAUUCUCAGGUACAAUAUGAAUUAUUUCAUGUCUUCACUACCAGUUUGUUAGCCCUAUCUAUGGUGUUCUGUUCUUCAAUACCAAAUUCGAUUGUGCUGAUUUCCAAAGUUUAAAAAUUGCUUGUUCCAAAAUCUUGUAAAUCUUGUACGCCAUUCUUUUACACUUGUGCAUCCUAUAUUUUCUUUAUCGCAAAUCUUGUAUGCCAUCUUUUACAUUUAGUACGGGCGAUGCUUGACAUUAAAUCUACAUAUUUUAUAACUUUUCAGUCAUACAGAUCCCUGUUGUGUCAAUGAAAGUUUGGCAUCCAAAAUAGGAGCCAUAGAUUAUUUAAUAUGGAGAUUUGGUUAACCUGUAAGCAUGCUUGCAUACUCCUGAUGAUGAAGGUUAUAUGAGACGUUUUCUACUAUUUUUCAUUUAUCUCGUAGAUGUUUGAGGCCCAGUUGAAUAAUUACUUUUUGGAGACAGUCCGGAGAGCCAACUGAAUCCCUCAUGACCCUUUUUUGAGCAGGUCAUAUGCCCUCUCACCUAUCUACGAGGCUGUGAUGAGGCCUAUUGAAGAAUCAAAUAGUGCAAGUGCUGUGAAACCUGAGUCAGACGAUGCAGAAAAAAGAGAAGUGAUCCUGCCUGGGGUCAAUAUUUUAUUUGAUGGUUCACAGACGACCCCCUUUGACAUAGGCGCUUGUCUUCAGGCUCGUCAGCCCAUUCUGUUGAUUGCUGAGGCCUCAGCCAUCUCAGCCUCCUUGCAGACGAACAAGACUUUAUGAUUCAAAUUCAUUCUUUUUUUCUUUGAAAGGAGAUCAUCUAUAAGUUGGCCAGAAAUUGGGAAUCAUAUCUGCCUUGCCACCGACACAUAGCCAGCUUCAGGGUAACGCCAAGAAGGUAUCAACGUUGAAUACAUUGUUUCCUUCCAAGUUCUACUGGUGAUUAGAUUUAAGGUGGGGGAAAUGUGGGACAAUUUAUUUUGGAAUGAGUUAUUGUCACCGGUGCCCACCCUUUAUAUGACAGAUCUCAACUAUUUUUGUGCCCUUAAUAGGCCUAGUAUUUCCGGCAUUUGCGAUGGCUUCUUUAUUUCUUUAUGUUCAAAAUAAUAAGAUUGUCUAGGUAAGAUGUAUGGGACCAAAUCUCGUCUCAGUGUAAUUGCUUGCAUCCUCUUCUGCUGGCCCGGGGCGCCAUUCUGCCAGCAUUGGGCAGCUUUAGACCAUGCGGAGCCACUUCUUGGCACAAGGCCAGAUGUUUCUCUCACUCAAGACUACACUUCUGAAGUGCCAACCUGCUCCAAGAGGCUGCAUGUUAUUCCUUAUGUUGUCCCUUUGAUCAGACGGCCCAGCAAUGUGGAGCACAGGUCUCAUUGUGAGGUUAAUUAGCUCGUCCCAUUAACAUCCAUCUGCAGUCGUGCAAUGCCUACUUGUGCUUAAUCACAUUUUAGGGUUUUCUACAACUCUUCCUGUGCUGAUGCCAUGCCAAUUUCAUGCCGUGAUAGGCUCAAGAUAGAUCUGAACAAAAGCUCAAAAGCUCAACAGUGAUCAUAUGAAAUUCACCCAUCUGUUUAUAACGAUUAACCAGAAUCAAUACAACAUGCAAAUAUCAGAAAAGUCUCAGACAUUGGCAUUCAAAACCUUAAAAGUAAUGACGACCGAGGUUGCUAAGCAUCUAACAACAGAUUAGGUGAUGAGACUAUAUUUAUGUAAGUAAAUGUCAAAGAGCAUAAGAUUCACUCUAAAUUAUUUGGACAGUUAAUAAAAAAUGCAAAGGAAAUGAGUAAUUUCAACCAUUGAUUUGGAUAGAAAAAUAUUUGGUCAAAUGGGUAGGCAUUUUCAAAGACGUGUCAAGAGGAUAGCAAGAGGAUGCGUCUACUGGCAAGUGUGCAGACCGAUACGGAUGGAUAUUAUGGCUGCAAAAUCAAGUGUUCCAGUGGGAACUUGUAGCUGAAGAGAUGAUCGGCAUGUAGAUCAUCUCUUCAGCCACAUGUGUUCAAAAGAAGAGAGUGGGAGGAUGGGAAAAGCUGCAGAAGAAGCGAGAGGGGUGACAGGAAGAGGUGUAGAAGAUGUUGGAGUUUAUCUCAGUGGAUCAGCGAAAGGAGGAAGGUGUUUGACAUUUGUCCAGCUUAAGCUAGUAGUUUUUCUUUCUAUUUCUGGAUUUUUAAGUGUUUUUAAACACUUUGAUGUCAUUUAGUCACAAUUGUCGGUUUCUUUAGUUAUAUUAGCCGUGAUCAUGUCAUGUAGGCAUCUAUGAGCAGGUAAUAGUAACGACAGCUUUAAUGUCGUGAUUGUUCGACUUAAGUUUUAUAAGAGGACUGGUCUAGUGUUGUUUUUAGGGUGUAUGAUUUUCUCCUUUGCUGUAAUACAAUUUGGGAAUUUUUUGUUUCUCCAACAUUCUUCUUGAUUCACUCUUGUGAUACAAAGGAUUGUAAGUUAGAUCUUACAUUUGGUAUCAGAGUAUUUUUAAUUCAGAUGUCUCGAUUAACAAUGACAUUGUGAUGGGUAGAAGCAUCCCAAGAACUUGCGUCAUGAGAGUAAAUGGAGCAGAGCAACUCUCUCAAAUUGGUACCUUCCUUGUUUUUACCAAGCUUAACUAUUAAGUGUGGGCACCUCGAAUGUGCUUGCAUCUUGAAGAUCUUGAGCUAUAGGAUGCCAUCGAGAUAGAAAACCUAGCAAGAAAGAGAGAUCUCUUGUGAAUUAGAUGUGAAGAAAAUAAUUAAGCAAAUGUGGACGUUCUUGAAAGCUAAGAAUGAAGAAGUGUCACAGUUGUGGACAGCCUAAAUCUAGUCCCUCCGAAGAGAAUAUGAAAAUCUCUCGAUAGAUGAGGGCAAGCUCAUCAUGGACUAUUUUAGCAAGUUGACUUAUAUUGUGGUCGAAUUAAGGAGCUUGGGAGAAAAAUAUCCAAAUGAAGAGAUAUCUAGAAAACUUCUACAAUCUAUCUCAAGAAAAUUUGCCUCAAUUACAACAUCAAUCGAGCAGUUCUAGGAUCUCAAUAGCAUCUCUCUUGAGGAAAUGCUUGCAACGUUGAAGAUCCAUGAAAACAAAUUAAAAAAUUAUUCAACCAAGCGAGAAAAAAAAGCUCUGUUGACUCAAACAAUAGGGAAAAUGAAAGAAGCCAAAGAAUCUCAAUCAAGAGGAAGAGAAAAUGGUUGAGGAAGAGAAAACGGUUGAGGAAGAGGCAAAGGAUGGGGUAGAGGGCAUGGAAGAGAUACAUCUGAGCCUUAAGACAAUGAUGAAAAUGAUGACAAGCCAAGAGAUAGGUCUAGUGUCACAUGCUACAAUUGUCAAAAGAAAGGGCACUAUGUAAAUGAGUGUCGACUGCUCAAGAAAAAAAAGCCUAAGCCAAAGGUUGAGAAGGUGAAUGUUUCUGAAGAGCAAGACUUGGAAUCUGAAUCCUCCCUUCUAAUGGCAUAUGAGAAAAUUAAAAUUCUUCUUCAAGAAGUAUCUCAUAUAGAAUUAAAGAUUGAGAUGUGAUAUCUUGAUACAAGUGUCACUUCUCACAUGAUAGGGAAAAAGAACCUUUUCUUUGACCUUGACUUGACCUAUAAGGGUAGAGUUAAAUUCGAAGAUGACUCAAUAAUCCCCAUUGAAGGACAAUGCAAAAUUUUCUUAAAUACUAUAGGUGGGAACAAAGUUACCUUGACGAAUAUAUUUUAUCUACGAAGUCUUAAAGCCAACAUUCUAAGUCUUAGGAGGCUCGAUGAACAAGGUUACAGAAUAGCACUUCAUAACGGGACACUUAUAAUUUAUGACUAAAAUGGAGUCCUCUUAAUAAGGAUAAAGAGGAGUAAAGUUGACUCUAUCUUUUUCAUAUUAAUAUAAUCAAAGGAUGCUAUCAUGUUAACAAAGACAUCUUAUGGCUAAGGCACAAAAGGUAUGGUCACUUAACUUCUCUUACUUGAAUUUACUUUCUUCACAAAACAUGAUUAGAGGGAUGCCUAAGAUAGACAAAAACUGUGAUUUGUGUUAAGAUUGUGUCAAUUUAAAGUAAGAAUAACCUUUCCUUCGGAGUCUUCUUUUAUAGCUUCUAAACCAUUGGAGCUACUAUAUGGAGAUAUUUGUGGACCAAUCGAGCCCCUUAUUUUAGGAGGGAGUAAGUACUUUCUACUUUUAGUAGAUGAUUUCACUCGUAUGAUGUGGGUGUCAAUGUUGAAGAAGAAAUCUAACACUUUUGAAGCUCUCAAGAAAUUCAAAUCAUUUGUAGAGACUGAAAAGAAUUUCAAGAUUGUUUGCUUAAGGAUUGACCAAGAAGGAAAAUUCAACUCUAAAGAAUUUAUAAAAUUCUAUAAGGAAAAUGGAAUCUGAAGAAAACUUAUCACUCCUUACUCCCCACAAUAGAAUAGGGUUGUUGAAUGAAGAAAUAAAUCUAUCAUGGAUAUGACAAGAUCUAUGCUGAAGUCCAAAAGCAUACUAAAGGAAUUUUGGGCUGAGGUAGUCAACACGACAAUAUAUCUUUUAAAUCGAGCACCUACAAAGAGUCUAAAUGGUAAAACUUUAUAUGAAUCUUGGACUGGUAAAAAAACUUAAGUUAAUUUCUUGAGAGUGUUUAGUUGUGUCACUCAUGUGAAGAAAUUUGGAAGCUCUCUAAAGAAACUUAAUGAUCAAAGGAUUCCUAUGAUCUUUAUAGGAUAUGAAAAAGGCACAAAAAGCUACAGAGCCUAUGAUCCUACCACACAGACUAUUCACAUCACAAGAGAUGCAAUAUUUGAAGAAAAUAAAAGUUGGUACUGAGUAACUUCCUCUGAAACCUCAAGAAAUGAUAUAGUAUAUUCCUUUACCACUUUAGGUUUUAGUGUUGAGCAAGUCAACGAUGAGCGAGAGCAGUCAAACACUGAAGUAGGUGAAGCAUCAGGAAAUCACAACACUUCUUCUUACACUAAGAGACCUCAAAAGUUCAAAACUCUUUCAAUUAUACUACGAGACUUAGGAAGAUGAUGAGGAAGAAAAAGUAUGUCACUUCAUUAAAGAAGAUGAAGCCAAGUUAAUUGAUGAAGCACUCACUACUAAAGUAUGGAGAAACAUUAUGAUUGAAGAAUUAAAGUAAAUUGAGAAGAACCGUACUUAAUCCUUGGUCUCACUACCUCCAAAUUGUAGACCAAUUGAACUUAAGUGGGUUUACAAGGUGAAAAGGAACUCGUCUAGAGAAAUCAUCAAGCAUAAGGCCUGAUUGGUGGCUAAGGGUUAUGCUCAAAGGUAUGGUAUUGAUUUUACUAAUGUCUUUUCACUAGUUACUCGACUUGAAACCAUUUGCCUUCUUCUAGCCAUGGCAGCCUAAUUCGGAUGGAUGGUACAUCAUAUAGAUGUGAAAUCGGCCUUCUUAAAUGGUGAGAUUCAUGAGGCAAUCUAUGUGACUCAACUGAAAGGGUUUGAAGUCAAAGGCAAAGAAAAUUUGGUUUACAAACUUGAAAAGGCCCUAUAUGAACUUAAACAGGCCCCUAGAGCUUGGUAUUUAAAGCUGAAUAAGAGUUUAAGCACACUAGGACUAGCAAGAAGUGAAUUUGAGCUUACUAUCUACAUUUAGAAAGAAUUAAAUUUCUAAUUGUUUGUGGGUAUCUAUGUUAAUGACCUCCUAAUUACUAGAAGCCCCCAAGAAGUAAUUAGAGACUUUAAAGAGAAAAUGAAGAACCUUUUUGAAAUGACUGAUCUCAAACUCCUAUCAUCCUAUUUUGGAAUCUAGGUAAGUCAAAUUAAUGAGGAAAUUUGUCUAUCCCAAAAGGUUUAUGCCAUCAAAAUUCUUAAAGAAUAUGAUAUGGAGAAAUAUAAUUGUCUCAAACUCUACUUGAAGUUAGACCAAGAUUUGAGUAGAAAGAAAGAGAAAGAAUGGUAGACUCAACUACUUCUUGAAGUCUGAUGGGCUCACUGAUGUAUCUCACCCACAUCAAACCACACUUUUUGUUCUGUGUCAAUUUUCUAAGUCAUUUCAUAUAAAAUUCGACUAUUGAACACUUCAAGAGUGCCGAAAGAAUAUUGAGAUAUAUCAAAGGCACACUUGAUCUUAGCCUAAUGUACAAAAAAGGAGAGAAAUUUGAGCUAGAAGAAUACAAUGAUAGUGACUAUGAAGUAGAUACACAAAAAAGAAGAAGCACCUCUAGAUUUCUCUUUUUCCUUAGUGGAAAUGUGAUAACUUGGGCUUUUUAGAAGCAAAAAGUGGUAGCCUUGUUGUCAUGUGAGGCUAAGUACAUUUUAUUGACUCUUGCUGCUUGUUAAGGGGUAUGGAUGGGAGAAUUUCUUAAAGAAUUAACCAAAGUAGAGCUGAAGCCCAUAAAGAUCUAUAUAGACAAUGUCUCAGCAAUUGAAUUUGUCAAGAAUCAUGCCUUCCAUAAUCGCUCAAAACAUAUAAAGAUAUGUUACCACUAUGUGAUAAACUGUGUUGAAGAUGACAAAAUUGAAGUUCUUCAUGUCAUGACUGAUGAACGACAAGUAAACAUUCUCACGAAGUCAUUUGGAAGGGCUCAAUUCACAUCUUUUUGUUCCCUUUCAGGUGUCAUUGACCUUGGUGAUCUAACACAAGCUUAAGGAUGAGAUUGUUGGAGUUAAUCUCGGUGGAUCAACAAAGGAGGAAGGUGUUCGACGUUUGUCCAGCUCAAGCCAGCGAUUUUUCUUUCUAUUUCUGGAUUUUUAAAUGUUUUUAAACGCUUUGAUGUCAUUUAAUCACGGCCGUUGAUUUCUUUAGUUAUAAUGGCCGUGAUCAUGCCAUGUAGGCAUUUAUGAGCGGGUAACGGUGACAACGGCUUUAAUGACGUAACUGUUCAACCCAAGUCCUAUAAGAGGACUGGUCCGGUGUUAUUUCCAGGGUGUGUGAUUUUCUCCUUUGCUGGAAUAUGAUUUGGGCGUUUUUUGUUUCUCCAACAUUUCUCGUGAUUCACUUUUGUGCUACAAAGGAUCGUAAGGUUAGAUCCUACAGAAGAAACGAGGUGAGGGAGGACGGGAAGAGAUGCAGAAGAAGCGAGUGGGAGAACGGGAAGAGCUGAAGAAGAAACGAGGGGGGGAGGGCAGGAAGAGAUGCAGAAGAAGCGAGAGGGGUGGCGGGAAGAGGUGCAGAAGAAGCGAGAAGACGGGAAGAGAUGCAGAAGAAGCGAGAGGGGUGACGGGAAAAGGUGCAGAAGAAGCGAGAGGACGGGAAGAGCAGCAGAAGAAGCGAGAGGGAGGAUAGGAAGAGGUGCAGAAGAAGACGAGGAGAGGGAGGACGGGAAGAGAUGCAGAAGACGCGAGAGGGAGGAGGGGAAUAUUUGCAGAAAGGAGAGGAAAGACGGGAAGAGAUGCAAAAAGGAUGGCGAGACGAUAGUAGGUGUAUAAGGGAGAGGACGGGAAGAGGUGCAUGAGAGAGAGGACAGAAAGAGAAAGACGAGAUAGAGAUCGAGGCCUCCCACACCGUGCGGAGACCUCUCGCUGAGACUCUCUCCGUGCUGACGGCUUGGGGCACACCUCGAAUGAAAACUGUGCGUCACUAACCUUAAACUUUUGGAUCGGAACAUUUCAGUACUCCUUACAUGUCACACUUAAAAUUCAUGCCUAAUAUUAAGGCUAAAAAGGUUUAACUUAACUUUGGGGAAAACUCAUUAAUACCUCGGAAUUUUAGAUAAUGAGCACGACUCAAGUGGUCGAGUGUUGCUCCUCCAGCCACAGGGUUGAAAGGAUGGUUUUUCCUCGAAGAAGAUGGUGAUGAGUGAUGCCAUGCCACAGUUGUUCUUUCUGUGCCCACUUGGUAGCCUCUUAGUCAUCCUAUAACUAAAUCUAACAGACCUAGAAUGGUACAAUAUCGACCAUAGCUAGCUAAGAGUCAAACCCAUUUCGCCUAGAGCAUAAUGAUAGCAGUCAGUUAUCUAGAGGUAGAUCUGUGAAUUCAGAGUGUGAGCUUCUAGACGUUGUGUAACUCAACGAGUAAGCUUGUUCUUAUGAUAUAGGAAUAAAAAACAAACCAUAUUAAAUGAAAUUCUAUAUUAGAGUGGUAAAAUGUCUAUUCGCCCUCCUCUAGACAUAUUUUUGCAGAAAAUUUCCGCCUGCCGAUAUUGAGGAGACGCAGACCAACAGCAUAACCUUGUUUCUUAUCGUGGCCAUUGAGAGUAUAGCCCUUCCUCUUCUCCCUUUGGCUGGCUGGAGUAUGGCUUGGAAUAUCUCAGGAGCGUGUCCUGCUGGAAGCACGCCCACAGCAGCAUCCCUCUUAUUCUCGUUUUCUUUGUAGCUGGUCUGAGGACUGGUGACACCUUUCUGGAGGCACUUUCAAAUCAGCACGUCGUUUCUUCUCAUGGUUGCUAGGAUGACAGCCCUCCUCUAUUUUCCAUCUUGGACAUCAAGAAAUGACUAUAUUCUAGCUUUCCCUAGAAGUACACAUCACGUAAUUCUUUUCAAACAUGGUCUUGAUACAUGAAAAAUUAAAAUUUUACUCCAUGGUGCUAUUUCACCAAAAUCAUUAAGAUAAUGUUUACAAUAAAGGUUAUUUGAAAUAAAGAUAAAAAUAUGAGUGCAACUAGAUGAAUGAAUAAUAAGGUCCCUUGACAAUCCAAUGUUUCAACUAGCAUAUCUUGUGCAUGACAAUUGAUAUCGAACCCAACCUAUCAUAGCUAAAAUUAAAACUCUCUAAUGAUUAGAUUGAAACAACUAAUCUUAGAAGAAUGUUAACUAAAGGGAAAUUUACCAAUAAACAUUCUUGAUUGUGCCUUAUAUGCAAACGAGUUCAAAAUGUACCUGUAAAAGUGCUAAGGAGAUUUACAACGAAGAAGAAGCUACAUAUGAAGCAACAUCAUAUUAAAAAGGUUAAAAAAUUAUUUUUAGCUCAUAAAUAUGAAUUCAAGUGCAUGCCUGAAAAUUAAUGCCAUGUAGAAAAAUUUAUUGGCUUAAUAAAAAUUGAUAAAAAUGUGAUAAUUCUUAGAAAAAAACAUUAAAAUCUAAGAAAAUUUAAAAUAUAUUUAUUUACAGCAUAAAUGGAAACCAAAUGUAAAAAAUAUUGUGGCAGAAAUUUUUUUAAAUAAAUCAUGUAUUUAAGAAAUACUUAUUCCUGAAAGACAUACUAUCCAACUAUAAAAUUAUAAAUUAAAUUUGUGUAAGAGAAUUUUUAGUGGUUAUAAAGUCUUUAAUAAUUCUGAAAAGUCUGAUUACAAUUCAAAUGUUGGUGAAAAAAAUUUUCUACUUUGUAUAAGAUUCAAAUAAUUUUUAAUGAUAAAAGAAGUAGAAAAAAAACACCCUUCCAACGUAGGCUAAAUAGGGUGCUAAGAGGAUGGGAGAUGGUGAAUUAGUUUUUCAAAUAUUUAUUCAAUUAUAUUGAGAUUUUAACCAUUUUUCAUGACCUAUGCUUUGUUGGUUGACAUAUGUUAGGUCAACUCAUUGAGUUGGAAGACUAUUCAACAAUUAGAAAAAGAUAUGCUUUCUUAUAGUGGUUUGGUCUCCUCAAUCCUAUAUCAACUUAUCAAAGGAUAUUAGCCUUGGUUUCUACUAUCAUCUCUAAGAGAAUGAUAUUUAAAAUUUAUCAAAUUAUUGGAACUCCUAAUGCAAUAGAUUUACGACCCUAUCUCCCAACAGUAGACAUCAAAACACUAGUUUGCAUUUUCACUUGUUAAUAGCACUUCCUAUAAUGCCUUCUCUUGUAUGAAUUGUGAUAUAAUACUUACAAAUGAGUCUUGUAGAUGUGCGAAUGUGCUUCAUUUGGUAGAUUUGGGAUGCUUAAGAAAGCAUAGGUGUAGCCGCACUUGCACUAGAAAGAGAAUACUUAUUUUUAGUUCAGCUGAUAGAAUUGAUGUAGUGCUUAGGUAUAACUUAAAAUGACUUAAGAGUAGCUAUUUAUAGAGCUCAAACUCAAUAAUCUGAAUGAUUAAGAUUUGAUAGGUAAAAAGUAUUAUGGGUUCAUGCCUAUCUCAACAUAUAGAAAAACCUAUGUAUUCAACAUUCUCAAUUGACUAGCUUAUGACUAGGACAUUCUAAAAAUGUGUUAGCAAGAGAUUUUUAAUCUUUUUUCAUAUUUUGACAUCUUAGGGUUUGAUGCAGAUGGUUAGAGAUUCUCCAUCAUAUGUCAUUAUAAUACGAGUUGUCUGAUGUGUUGGAUCACAAAGAGAAUCUUUAUUUUUUUACUCUCAUCUGUUCUACUUGUUAGUUGUUGGGACUUCAUGUGUCUCAGCAUUUUACAUCUUUUACAACAAGGUUGUCUCACCUCAAUUUGAUCUUGUGACAACUGUGCAGACUCAUUAAAUCAACUUAUCUAGGCUGACCCAUGGGUGAACCCACUGGGGGCCUUGAGGCAGCUAUUUCUCUUUAAAAUAUUUUUUUUCCUUCUAUUCAACUUUUUUCUUUUGUAUCUUUUCCUCAAUUAUUCUUUCUACUAUUUUAUGCAAAUAACACAUAAUAAAAAAUGGAUGAUGAAACAAUUGAGAUGUAGAGGAGUGAAGACCUAGUCCAACUCAUGAUUUCACUCACUUUUAGUGGAGCUUUUUCUAGCCAAGUCAGUUAGAUUAUCUACUUGAAGCAUUAUUAUUGUCAAGAAGAGUUUUAAAUUUUUUUAAUAUAAGGAGUCUUUGACUUUAUUGUAGAAAUCAUAAGAAAUCAUAGUUGACAUUUCAUUCCAAGAAGUUAUGUUGCAUAGUAGCAUACUUUACCAAGGUAGUUUAUAUAACAAGAUUUGUGGUGAAAGAAUAAGCUAUAUCAAGAUAAAUAAUUUAGUAGUUCAAAUUUAUUGUGCAUAACAUAAGUAUUAAGCACUAGAAGGUACAUAAAUAACAUGGCAUAUCAAAUCCAAUAUGCACUGCAUAUAAAUACAUUGUGCAAUAAAAAAGUAUUUUAAGCUUAAUUUUGAAAUAUAUCAGAAGUUUGAUUCCAUAAUAAAUAAACAUCUAAGUCAAUAUGUUAGUAUAUAUAGAAUAUGUUGUCCACUAAUGGAGUACAUCAGGGUCAAUAUCCUAAUAAAUUUAAAAUAUAUGAGAAUUAUGUGGUGAAACAACAUAAUAUAUCAAGCAUAACAUCUUCGUAAAUGAAAUCAUGGUUACUUUUCGAACAACAUGAAUUGUGUCCAUAUGGAAUGCUGAAAAUUUGAUGAAAUAGAGCAAGCCUUCUAUAAAUAACAAGGAAAAUCAAAUUUCAUGGAUGUGAGAGAAGUAAAACGUAGAAAAAAAGACAAUAAAAAACUCAAUUAAUAGCUUAAGUGAAGAAAUUUGAGAAGAGUUUUGCAGCUUGGCAAUAAUUCGUCAUUCAUAGGGAGUCAACUGACCUAAAUUGUAGGGUUCCUCAUCUAUUGCAUCCAGUCAGCUUCUAACAUCACACUACGGAAAAGAUGACUAAUUCGAGUCUGAACCAACUAUCGACAGGAUUUCAGGAUCUUACAACCUUCAAAAAAGCAUGUUGAUACGUGCAUGUUUGCUUCUCAAAAUAGAAACAAUGCCACUAUGAGUCAUGAACUUUUUUCUUGCAUUUAAACUACUGGCUUUCAGUGCCAUUUGAAAAGACAUUAAUGAUUGACUUAGUUUUGGGCGAUGAAUGAAUAAUAUUCACCUUGAGUUGGCGUACCUUUUGAUAGAAUAUCCCUUGUUAAGAAAUCCCAACUCCAUUAUGUUGACAAACAUAUCGUUGCCAAAAGCCCAAUCAUUUUUUCAGAUCCACGUGCACAAGAAAAUGUAAACUGGAUAUGAAUGGGCAAACACUCCAGUGUUCUUAACCAAGGUAUAGAUGAGGAGUCAACCCACAUCGAAUAAUUAUUUCUGAGAGUCAUUUGUCAUCGGGGAAAAUCUUACUUUGAAGCUAACCUACGUUCAUCCAGUGGGGCCUAACACAACAAAAAUGUCACGGCACCUUUAUCUAGAGCGGUAAACACUUCUACUGUGUUGGUAUGCCAACCAUGACGACAAUCUCUCAUGGAACGUCUGAAGAGUUUCUAGAGCUGAAUAUUGAACCCAUUUGAUACAGAUGUCUCCGAGAAGGAAAUCAUCUAGAAGGCUCUCUGUUAGUUUUCUACGUGAUCCCUUGCCUAAUACGCAACAUUGCCAUGUCUCUCUUUCCUGAGAUAACAAAAGUCUCUGGAGUUCUCACCACUUAACCUUAAGAGGAUAGGGUUGACUCCCAAGUGACCGUUGUGUCCAGUCCUGGAAGGCUAAAGAACCUACCCAAUCUGCUAUUCGCAACGCUACCUUGGGGCAUAACUAUAGGCAAGAACAUUGCAAAGGCAUAGGCUUGUUCAUCGAGACAUAAUGCUGCGAAAAACUUCGGGAAAGGCAGAAGAGGGAGAUUAACAAUAUGAAUGGGGCCAAACGUCUCAGACAGCUACGCCUUGCUGUCUUCAGAAACAUAUAGAAUUUAAAUAUAUCAAAUUGUAAUCAUCUGGUGUUAUUGCACUUAUUCCCGUUUUGACAGGAAUGGAUCUUCGUAGCAAAACUUCCUCAUCAAAUAAAGCCUGGAUUAUGUCUGAUCAUUCACCUGUUACCACCCAGCUAAUCCCAAAUAAAGAGAUUAUUAAAUAAAACAAAUACGUAGGAAAUUCGUCAUAGUAUGAUACAUGUGAAGGGGUGUAGGCAGUCAAAUCUUCCUCAAAGCAAGCCCUUUCAGAAGUCAUGUAAAGUAAAAGCCUUCCUGUGAUAGAAGCUGUAACUAGGGAUUGUAAGUUUGGAAUGUCUUAUACUGAAUUAAUAGACGUAGCAUUCAUAAAAUAUCAGAAUGUUCACCCAUGAGUAUGAUCGAACGGGUUACGAUAUCAAUCCCAUCUUUAAAAUGUGACUAUUCCAAGACGUCACUGACCAAGAGAAGAAGGAGAGCUGUGAAGAUCAGGUCCAACCGGAUUGAUGGAACGGGAUCAAUGCAUGCGGAGUCGCCUCUAAGGUGGCUACACUGGUUGCCGCUGCGUUCCUCCCCACCCCGUCCUUUUAUUAUGCUCCGUUUUUAUGGGCAACAAGAGCAGCCUUACAAGCAAGAUUUCUAAACAUGAAAGUUUUGCCGACGUAAGGUCCAAACGCGAAGCCGGGAAGAACGGUAGAGAGAUAUCAUUUAAUUAUCCUCCGAAGGGAGAAGCAUGGGAUGUGUGCGGCAUAAAUCACAAGUACGUACCUGUUUCGCCCAACCUAUAUCCUUGUUAGAGUCUCUUUCCUCUCCUCAGCGCUUCACGCGCACAGUAUCACUUUCUCCCCAUUUCUCUCUGACGCAAACACAGUCAUAUUUUGUCGCAGGCUUUCUCUUUCCCUCACACAUAUGCAUAGACUCCAGGUCUCAUGAGGCCUCCAACUAAGUACGACAUCUGUAACACCGGCAUAGAACGCGGAAGAGAGAUGGACGAGAAAGCGCUAAAGGAAGCUGCUGCAUGGCGGACACGUUUGGCUGAACCGAGAGGGGCACUCAAUGGUCAUUAUGUCCAUCACCAGAAAAAGCCCACAGAUGUCAACAGAUAUAGAACCAGAAAGAGAUCCAAGUGUGAAGUGAAGAACGAUAUCCAAGGAGCUCCAUGAUGGAGAUGCUCUUUCAUUCGAAUUUCACCUCUCGUGAGAGUUCUCUUUGUACUUGUUUCGCUCAUGUGUACUCGCACGGGAUCGUCGAUUCGAUUCAGAACGGCGAUAUAAGAGACGAAGUCUUCUGAGAUAUGGGAAAAAUUUCUGAGGCCGUUACCAAAGAUUCGACCCCUUCGAUCCCCAAGAAAGUCAUUGUAUCUUAGUCUGAGACGUACCAGUACCAUCCACAGAGUCGCAGUAAAAGCAAUGCUCCAAUCAACCAUCAGUCCAUCAAAUUCAGUUAGAAUGUAGUCCAUUCGAGCAUCCUAAGAUAAUCUCCAUUUGUCCACACCCCAUCAAAAUAUGAAGACCAAACAUCAUCGGACGGGGAAGAACUCAGCGGUACUCAACAAAGGAUUAAAGAAAAUAGUAAGAAAGAAUUGAAUGGCCUAAAACCCUAAUCACGUUCCUCAGCCAUUAGGGCUCAACUCCCAAUAUGCAACUUAUGCUUCGAUGUCGUUGAGAGAGAGAAAGAGAGGGAGAGAUGGAGAGAGAGAGAGAGAGAGAGAGAGAUNNNNNNNNNNNNNNNNNNNNNNNNNNNNNNNNNNNNNNNNNNNNNNNNNNNNNNNNNNNNNNNNNNNNNNNNNNNNNNNNNNNNNNNNNNNNNNNNNNNNNNNNNNNNNNNNNNNNNNNNNNNNNNNNNNNNNNNNNNNNNNNNNNNNNNNNNNNNNNNNNNNNNNNNNNNNNNNNNNNNNNNNNNNNNNNNNNNNNNNNNNNNNNNNNNNNNNNNNNNNNNNNNNNNNNNNNNNNNNNNNNNNNNNNNNNNNNNNNNNNNNNNNNNNNNNNNNNNNNNNNNNNNNNNNNNNNNNNNNNNNNNNNNNNNNNNNNNNNNNNNNNNNNNNNNNNNNNNNNNNNNNNNNNNNNNNNNNNNNNNNNNNNNNNNNNNNNNNNNNNNNNNNNNNNNNNNNNNNNNNNNNNNNNNNNNNNNNNNNNNNNNNNNNNNNNNNNNNNNNNNNNNNNNNNNNNNNNNNNNNNNNNNNNNNNNNNNNNNNNNNNNNNNNNNNNNNNNNNNNNNNNNNNNNNNNNNNNNNNNNNNNNNNNNNNNNNNNNNNNNNNNNNNNNNNNNNNNNNNNNNNNNNNNNNNNNNNNNNNNNNNNNNNNNNNNNNNNNNNNNNNNNNNNNNNNNNNNNNNNNNNNNNNNNNNNNNNNNNNNNNNNNNNNNNNNNNNNNNNNNNNNNNNNNNNNNNNNNNNNNNNNNNNNNNNNNNNNNNNNNNNNNNNNNNNNNNNNNNNNNNNNNNNNNNNNNNNNNNNNNNNNNNNNNNNNNNNNNNNNNNNNNNNNNNNNNNNNNNNNNNNNNNNNNNNNNNNNNNNNNNNNNNNNNNNNNNNNNNNNNNNNNNNNNNNNNNNNNNNNNNNNNNNNNNNNNNNNNNNNNNNNNNNNNNNNNNNNNNNNNNNNNNNNNNNNNNNNNNNNNNNNNNNNNNNNNNNNNNNNNNNNNNNNNNNNNNNNNNNNNNNNNNNNNNNNNNNNNNNNNNNNNNNNNNNNNNNNNNNNNNNNNNNNNNNNNNNNNNNNNNNNNNNNNNNNNNNNNNNNNNNNNNNNNNNNNNNNNNNNNNNNNNNNNNNNNNNNNNNNNNNNNNNNNNNNNNNNNNNNNNNNNNNNNNNNNNNNUCUCUCUCUCCAUCUCUCUCUCUCUCUCUCUCUCUCUCUUUCUUGAUGUCGCUCGGCGGAAUAAUUAUCGAGUCGAGAAGGAAAGGAAUACGAAGGACGCCCGGAGGGGGGGGGGAGCGAAGUCGAAGAUAAGAGCUUGGACGAAUGUGGACAGCAUCAGUUCACACACCGCCUCCUUCAGGGGGGGAAAUUUUGGAAGUGACUUCUCCCGUCGUCUGCUAAGGACGAUUAUUAAUAAAAUAUUUUUAGUAAAAAAAUAUAUUUUCUACAAGCUAUGUCUCUCUUUCGCCGCCCUACCACUCCGGCUUGUCGGAUAACCCUCUUAAGUCACUUCGAGUGAGCUGGGUCAGGUAGGAAACCGAACCCAAUGCCCAAUUACCUUUUACUAAAUGAUAAAAAGGAUUCUGCGCUUUUUCAUCCCAAAUAAUGUUUCAGCUUUGCCUUAUUUAGAAAUUAUUUUUAAAACAUAUUACAUAAUCUGUCGGACGUAAUUACUCAGAACUAUGCUAACAGCUCGUGGGAUGAUCAGAACCAAGACAUUUGCCUUUCGUUUCCAUAAUUACUUACGACUCACAUUAAGGAAAUAUACACUCGCAGGGUUCCCUGAAAAUGUAAGAGAAAAUGCCUUGAAAAGGAGAAAACUUGAAAAUGCAACACGAUUAGAGAGUCAUUAAAAUAAUUAGUUGAAGCAUUUGUCCGAUUAUUAUGCAGCUGUUCCCAUGGAACAAUUUUUCUCGAUAACGGAGACUAUUCCGAUUAAUCAGUUUAAAAUGAGCUCGUUUCCGUAUCUCCUCCUGCAAUAUCCAGGGGAACUUAACAAAGUGGCAACGGAGGACGGGGCGGUAGGAAAUUAAUUAGUUCUCUUCUAAAGGAGUGCGGAGUACGGGGCUUAUUGAAUGAAUUGAUAACGUUAGUUGCAGCUUCACUCAGACGUCAAACCCAGUUGUGAUUGGACAUCUCUCUCUCUCUCUCUCUCCUCUCUCUCUUUCUCACUCUCUACUGUAGUCGAUCGGAGUGAGUGUGCACUCAUAUAGUUUUCAGGUUCUUUUCAAGAAAUAUAAAGCGUAUCCAGUUCCGAUGCUCGUUGACCGUUCUGACAGUCCGGAGCCCCCCCCCCUCUCGAAGUCUUCCUCUUCUCCUCUCGCGAUUAAUGUCUCUCCCGUCUGUCACAGAGAUGAGAGAGAGAGAGACAGGAGGAGAAGGAGAGACAGGAGACUGGCUCAUUGAAUCUCUCGGGUUGCUUCUUCAAAGAAAAACAGCGAGGUGGUGCACAACAGAAAGAGAGCGACUCUUUGAGAUCUUGUCGAUACAAGGACACAAAAACUAUAAUAUGGAGACCCUGGAAAGUUACUACGAUAUAGAUUUAUUAACAGAGAGGAAGAGAGUAAGAGCUAGAGAGAGACGGCCCAGACCUGGGCAGUUGCGUAGGUUCCGUAGGGCUGAAAACGAUAACACAAAAGAUGAGGAGCUCGCUGAGUUCACGAUCUCUGUCUACUUUUCACAAUGGCUUUGCGUUCGCUAUCCCGUACAUACGGGAAGCAUCAAACUGCUCACCUCCACGCAAAAUACCCUCUUAGCUCCACUGGAAAGUUUUAGUGGCCUCACUUGGGACCCCGGUAGAAAUUAACAGCUUUCACUACGAAGAAAGAGAGAGAAAGAGAUAGAGAGAGGAGGAUGUCUUAAAUCACUGUUUGCGAUUAAUAAAUGCGGCUUUCAGCUGCCGGGAUGAGCGACGAAAAGAAGACCAUUUUUACAGUAAUAUCUCUGAAACCGGACUUCGCUUCUGCAUAGGUGAAAAGGAGAACACAGAGAGAUAUGAUAGAUUAGAUAGAGGAGAGAUCCGGAAGAGAGAGAGAGAGAGGGAAAGAGAGGGGACCAGAGUGGCUGAUUACGUUCAGAGUGUAGGAUAGAGGAAAAAGACGAAGAACACAACCGAGCGAGGAUAGGGGAUUGUGGCUGAUUACGUCCAGAGAGGCGGAUAGAGGAAAAAGACGAAGAACACAAGCUAGAGAGAAUAGGAGGCUGAGGUCUCAACACUGUGCAGAGUGUAACUGCAGCAGUGGGUGCCUAUCCUGGUCCACUGCCGCUUUUGCUGUGGACUGGCCUAUGCAUGCAGCCAUAACCGCAGAGAAGCUGCAAUUGCACCUGCGGUACACGCUAUCCAGAUUCAACCACGCCAGCGAACUGGAAGGAACCCUAUCAUCUUUUUACCACUCCCUCUCUAUCUUCACGCCCGCACUUCCCGUCCAGUCCCAUUCCACCCUGUCUUUCCUCUGCUAGUGCACAAUAGAAAAGUGCUGGCGCUGCCAGGAAAGAGGAGAAAGAUAUAGAGAUGGAGAGGGGAAAAUGGGCAUGAUGUUGACAAGACGAAAAAAGUUCGGCAGACUGCGAUUUCUAUUUCUAUUCUUUACAAACCUUCUCUCUCACCCUUUACUUUCCCUCUCUCACCGCCCUUGAAUUUCUCUCUCAUCAUUAAGCUCAGUGUUGGGUACAAAUUCUGUAACUCUCUACCUAUCAAGAAAAAGAUCCACGACUUGUCAGUCUGAAAACCAGUGAAUUCAAAUUUGAAUCACAAGGGACUGUGCAAACAUGUUGAUGGGCGCACGUGUGGACUGCACGGGGUAUGGUACAAGACGAAGUAGGCUAAUGGUCAUCAUGGCCAUCUGGUCUGGUCCCUCGCCUAGCUGUACCCCUCACUGUUUUUCUCAUGCGAAUAUGCAUUUAUCUGUGUUCGUGUCAGCCGGUCGGACCACCAGUAGCCAACUCAGUUAUGGCCCACACUGUUUGUCAAAACCAUUCCCAAUUCAUUGGGUUUGAAAACAGGCUUCAAGUCCCAAUGGAGCUAAACACUUGCUCAAUCCAACCAGAGAACCGGUUGGCGCAUUGAAAUAGUUCGUCUUUUCACAUCUUGAUCUAGUUAUAUAAAUAGGCUCUUUUGGCGUAAUUACACAAAAUAGGCCACAUUAUUCAUAGCAGCAAGUCAAACAUGAGAAGUUGAUUUCGGUGGCAAAAAAGCCUUUUCAAAGUAAAAGAAAUAAUCUCUAUAAACAAGAAGUUAGUGAAUCCAAGAGAACUAAAAACUGAAGCUGCAAAAAUAUUUCCAAAUAGGAAUCUAGCCUGGACAACACAGUGAAAAUGGUCAAUUGGAUUCAAUAUCGUUUGACUUCAGAUCUUGUGAUGUGCAUACUUCUUAUACUAGCAAUUAUGUUAGGAACUUAGACCCUUCUACCCAUCCAUUGAGUUUACACUCCCAUUGAGAGCCCAGGUAACCUGAAGAACUACUAAUACCUUAGAAUAGACCUAAAAAUAUGAUACAACAGCCAUAGGCAAAUAAUAGAAGAUAUUCAAUAAACACAAAGAUAAAGGAAUCUUAAUGUUUAGCAAACAUUUGAAUUGAAAGCUUUGUGGUUUCAGUAGGCAACUUAAUUUAUGAAUUCUAGAAUUAUGUAUAGUGCCAUUGAAGAGACAUGUUAUGUAGAAUCGAAAAGUGUGUUUUGCAUGUGGGUUUGAAAGGAAAUUGAGAUGUAUAGUAUAUUAGACCCUUAAAGUAAGUGGAGUAAUAAUUAUUUAAGACAUUAUCUAGUAGGAUGGAGACAAAAUAGUUUGAGUGAUUUCUGAUCAGCAUUUGGGUCAUAUUUUAGUAAGAAGAAGAGUGAUUUAUAGUGUCAACAUCUAUUUAGUAGAUAGCCUAAUUGCUAUGUAGGAGUUCUGAUCUUCAAGGUGACUAAUACCUGUUAAAGGACAAUGGAGUUCUGAUGCUAGUGAAUGCAAGCUCUGGCCUAAGCCACUCUACAUCUAUUUCGAUGUCUUGAUUUGGAUGAAAAUUUCUAUAUCUUUCUACAUAUGUUCACUUUGCAUCUAUUUCUACAUCUUUAUGUGGAAGAAACUUUCUAUAUCUUUUUACAUAAGCACAUUUACAUCUACUUCUGUCUUUGUGGAUGAAACUUUCUAAAACUUUCUACAUAUGCAUAUUUGCAUUGUUAUUUGAUGAAAUUUUUUUAUUUAUAUAUUCAAUGUUAUGUGGCUCUCAUAAUUCAUCUAUAUUAGUAGUAAAUUUUCAUCCACAUCUGAUUAUAAAAUCACAAAAAAACCUUAGUAGAAUAGUACAAAAAAAUCAACAAGCUCAAUUUAGAGAUUUCUAGAAAAAGCCUACUUACCUCUUCUUUAGACACAUUUUGAUAGUUAUCCAGUCCUUUGUCAUACUUCAUAAGGUGUAUAUCCAUUGUAAAAAGUCCUCACUCCUCCCAAUGCUUAGAUAAUAGAGAUCAUCUCACUUUUUUCUAUUGCAUAUAUUGUUGAUGCCCUUGGACAUUGUUUUGAUAUUGCAAAUAUGAGAAAUUUAUUCAUUAACUUAUGAUAUUUUUGAUAAGCUUAUAAUGAUUAUUGAAUAUUUUUUAAAAUUAAUUUAAUGCAAUCACUUAUUAUUUAUCUUUUGAGAUUAUAAUUAAUCAUUAAAUAUAAUGGAUUUAUCCUUUAUAUUAAAAUAUUUUGAUGAAUAAAUGAAGUAAAAUAUUUAUUGAAAUAGAUAUUAAUGAGAAAAAAUAUUCAAAUGGUAAAUGAGAAAAGGUAAAUUAAGGAGAUUAUUCUGAUUCAUUUAUCCAUAACACCUAACCCUUUAAGUGCAACAUUUAAAUUGUGCCAAAUUUAUCAUAAAAAGAAAUAGAAAAAGGUUCAAAAAAUAACUAGGACUUUUGUGAGUUUUGAAUUUGGAAAUUAGAUGGUGACAUGCCAACUAUAAAUGAUUAACUUAACAGUCAUAUUUAUAGUUAACAUCAACAAUAAAAUCAUUUGUUCGUGAGAGAUAAAUUUAUAAUUUAAGUUUAGAUCAAUUGGAAGAACUAAUAAGCUACAAACUUUGAGUCAGUCAAAGGUCAUUAUUGCAUAAUUCGAUGAAUUUUAAGAAUUAAAAUGACUUUGUGGAUUAUAUCUAACCCUUUCAAAGUAAGAAACUAUUGGAGACCAAUAUCUUAUAAGUAAGAUAAGCUUUAAAAUAAGUAUGUAGUACUCUACAAUCUUCUACAUCAAUCUAUCAUCUUCUCAUGAUUAAGGCAAAUCUACCUUAAACUUCAACAGUGCACAAACUACUUCAUCAAUUCUACAUGCGAUAUUGGUGAAUAAUAAGACCUUUAAAUCUUUUAAUCACAUUAUCUAUUAGGCCAAAAGGUAAUUUAGUGGUGAGAGGAGAUGUUUGAGCAAAAGCAUGAAGUGCUUUGUGUUUGGUUUAACAUGUCAAAAGUGUGACUUAUAUAGAAAUUAGAUUUAUGUGUUUGAGCUGCUAAUCCUGUGAAAGCUAGCAUGUAUUUUUGGGAGAACUAGUAAAAUUAUAAAGGAAUAAUCUUCUAGAACUAGAACUAAAAAAAUGAAAGAAAAUUUAGUAUAAAAAUAUUAUCUUUUUCAUAAUAGAGAAAUAACUUACUAAAUCAGUGAGAGAAAUAACUUGUAUAGAGAUAGAGAUGAAAAAUCUUGUUAGAAUGUGUGCUAACAUAUUCACCUACAAAAAAAAAAAAUGAAGUGAUAAAAAAUUGUGGAAAAACUAAUUUACCCCUCCCCCUCUUGGUAUUUCACCUAGCCGAUUUGUUCUUACAUCUAUACUUAAUAAAUGUAAAACAAAGGUUUCACACCUAAGAUACAUGGGCUUAUCUUUGUCAUUUCUAAGUUACACUUUGGUGGUAAGCAUUUUAUGCAUGCCUGAAGUAUCAUCACUUCUAGUUCAAGAAGCUACAUCAUAUUUAAAAUAGGCAUCUAUGGAUGCAAAAUAGCUUUUUUUAAAAUAUAGUAAAAAUUGAUAAAUAAAUCAAAUUGUUUAUGAUUACAUAAUAACUAUAUCUUUAAUACAAGUUUAGACUGAUUGCGUAAAUUAAUGUUAACCUAGUGAAUAAGUUAUAAAAUAGUGGGCACUAAUAAAAUCUAAGUUAUUAAUGUCUUACUUGUCAAACUAUACUGGUAACUAAGUAGAAAAUAAAUUAUUAGAUAAGUAUAAUAUGUCAUAAAUAUAUGUUGACAUGGUAUUAAUAAUUUCAUGAAUGUAUCACCAAGCCACCAACAUUGACAUAUUGAGCUUAAAAUAGAGACAAUGUACAAUACAGUAAAAAAUAAUUUCACAUUUUAUGAAACAAAAAUAUACAUAGACUUCACCUUGCAUGAAGUGAAAGUGUUUAACAAUCCAAUAGCAUAUAUUGAGAGAUCUUGUUUACAAUAGAAAGUUCAACAUAUUUGCAGGGGAGUGGUGCACAAGCAAGAGGAUUGACAAAUGAGUGUUGAUGCAAUGUAAAAGGUGGGUCAAAACAUAGAUGGUUACAUUCAAGCACAUGCAAGUGCAUUAAUUAAUGCAAGUGUUGGGUUAUGCAAGUAGGAUGAGCAGAAACUUGAGUACAGACAAAAGAAAGAUGAGUUUAAAUGUAAUAAUAGAUUAGGGAAUCACAAUUAGGCAAUCCAAGUUGACAUUGAAUGAACAAAAAUUUAUGAGAAUAGGAUAGGUACAAAUGUAGGUACACAAUAGAAAAUGAGUAUGAGGUCAGUGGUUUUUGAUCCCUCUGACCUCGUUCUUGAUCCCCUCUUUUAGCUUCUAGGGUCUAUUUCUUAGUUCACAUGUGGCUACGAACCACAGUGUCGGGGGUUCGUAGAAGGUAUUGCAAGACAGCCAGAAGUAGAGGGUAAAAUACAUCACUCGAGUCACUUUUUUGAGAAAUACGCAAUCCAAGGACACAUACCCAAAUGGAAACUUAGUUUCCACUCACGACCCAUGUAGCUGAAAGGAACAUCGGCUCUCACAAUUCCAUCAUCCCCGUGUUCCUCGAAUGGGUCUCUUGAGAUGAGAAAAAGACUCUCUUCCUAUUGUUUAAAAGGUUUUUCUUUCCCUUCUUUUUUUAGUAUUUAACAAUAUGAUAUCAUGUGUCAUUCCAAUAUUAAGUAGUAAGCAUCAAAUGAAUAGAUUUUGUUCUUUUAAUAUAAUGCAAUCUCUCUUUUUACUUUUUUGAUUAGCUAGUGAUUCUUCUAUUGAUGCAUUCUCUCAUUGACCUCAAACUAUUUCAUAAUUUAGAAGUGUAGGUGUAUAUGCUAUCAUGCUUAUUUGUAUUAUUGCCAACACAAUAUGCUAAUAGAUUUAAGUUCACAUGAUGAUAUAUGAAGUUUAGUGUAAUAUAUCAGUCAACCUUAUAAAUGAUCAUGUGUUGACAUAGUCACUUUGAUGGACACUACUAUAUUAAGCUUUAUAUGUUCUAUUGUUCUACUACAUCACUCUUUAUAUAUUAGCAUGUUAACUUUGGUGAAUUGUACUAUUUUAUGUCAUAAACCAUAAAAAAUUAGUGCUUAAACUCUCUUACCUAAUCUAUUUGUCUAAAGUCAUUUAGACAAAUAUUGCCUAUUUCAUUUUAUUAGUUAAAAUAAAAUAAAAUCAUUAAAUAUUGAGUCAUGUGCUUGACUCUUUAACAAAAUUAUCACUAUGCAUAUAUCAAUUCCUAAGCAUUUUGUGUUUUUUCGGUGUUCUAGAUAAUGGGUUUAGAAAUAUUCUCAUUACACUCAUAACUUAGUUUUUAAUGAUAGAGACCUAUUACCACAAACUUGUAUAAUAAGGGAAAUAUAAAGAGACUAUACACAUCUUAUGAAAGUUUCCUUUAUUAGAAUUUUCAUGUUAUAUUGACCAUAAAAUUUUAUAAGAUGAUGUAGUAGAUACAUUUUAAUUCAUGGAUAGUCCAAAAAAUUAUGUCAUUUUUCAUAGAAAAUUGUUACCUUUAAAUAUUCAAUAUUUUUAUUUUAAAUAAAUAUCAAAAACUAGUUUUGAUGCCUCAUAUGGCUGGAAAAUGGACACCUUCCAAUACCAAUAUAGGGACAUGAAAUUAAAUAACUAGUUCUCUUGUGCUUUGAACUAUUUCUUAUUCAAAUGUUUUUUCAUUAUAAGCUUAAUUGAAAGGUAAUUUUCUUUGAUUUCAAUUUCAUUUAUUAAAAGAUGUGGAGUAAAGAUAACUAUUUGAUUCUUGUUUGUUGUUGGACCUCUUCACAAGGUUAGUAUAACAUCUACUAUCAUUUUAAUGUAAUACAAUAUUUUUAUAUCCUAAUGUAAAAUGAGAAUUGCACCUAUGUUCUAUUAUUUUAAGAUCAUAAUUAAAUUGAAUAUGAGGUUAAAAACUAAUUCAUAGAGUUUCAAAAAUGACAUUGUGGCCUUUAAUGAUGAAAAUGAAUGAUGAAAGGUUAUCCUAAUACCAUCAAUAAAUAAAAGUUUCACACCCUUUAAGACAUGGGCUUCAUAUCUUUAUAUUCAUAACUAUUCCAAAUUGUUAAUGCAAAAGAUAAAAUGAGAAGUUAUUAAUUUUUACAAUGUUUACCAUAAGAUUUACACUUCAAGUAUAGGUGGUCUCUAAUUUAUCUUAAAAAAUAAUAGAAGGUAGCUAUGAUUGUUGGGAUUUAGGUUAGUGAGGAUUAAGAAGAUAGGGUUGAAUUGAAUUGUCCAUUUCUUUCUUUCUAAAUUUCUUUUAGAAAUCUUUUUAUCACUCUCUCAAUGGGCUGAUUCUUAAUAAACUAUGAUUAUGGACGCACUAUUUUUAUAGUGAUUCAGCAUCAGCCUAUGUCCAUUCUCCAAAGAUACUCUCUAUCCUUAGGUUCUAUUCAUUGAUUGUUUAUAUCACAACAGUUGAUUCUACAAGCUCAACUCCCCUAAGACUUCACCUAAAAACCCUCUUCUAGAUUCAUGGCUCUAGAAGGCCUUACAUCAUUAUUUUCACAAGAUAUCUCUUCAAGUGAUCAAAUAAAUAAUCAAUGAUCUGAACUCACAAAAAUAUAAAACUAUAUUAUUGUGAGUAUGUGCAAAAGGUAACCAUUGAACACUUCAAACUAUUGUAGCAAUAGAAGAUGAACACUUAGAAGAUUGAUCCUUUGUCUUCUUGCUAUUUUUGUCAAUUGAUAUAAAGGUUUGAAGGCUUCUCAUUAAACUCAACUUGAGAGUAAAUGAUAUGUCAAAUGCUCUCCUCGAAGUUGUUUCUUUUUAAAUCAAUAAGUAAUUAGUUGACUAAUCCUCUCUCUCUCUUCUUCUUGAAUCUAUUCUGUGAAGAUCACUAAAUAGAAGAUGAUUGUAUGGAAGAAUAAAAAUAUUCAUUUAGGAUUAGUUCUUCUUAUUGGAUAAAUUAGUAUGAGCUAUUUAUAAAUUUUCUAAGAUCUCUAAUGACUAGAUUCACUUAAAAUAAUAUUAAAUUUAAAUAUUACAUAAAUCCAAUACAACAUAUCAUUUUGUUAUUUUGGAUAUCAUCUAAAGAAAUCAAUAUAUGAAUUGUUUAGGACUUAACGUUCAUAUUUGAUAACAAUCAGUUCACAAAAAUGUCACAAGAAUUCGAUAAGUUUUAUUGUGAAUCUAACAUGUCAUUUCUUACAAAAAUAAUAAAUUUUAUCUUAAAUUUUAUCUAAAUUCAGUCAAAAAAAAUAUGAGAUGUAAUUUUACUUCCUGAGCUUCAAUCAUGGUAUUUUAAAUCAUAAAAUCUCUAUCAAGAUUGAUUUAUAUGAUUUUUAACAUACACUCAAUAUAUAUUAAAAAAUCAUAUUGGUGAAUUCAACACUUGACAAAUAAUUUAAAUAAUUUGAUAUUUAAAUCACUAAAUUAUUAUAAAGUAAAAUCAUGGGUCUAUAGAUACCUAAAUAAGCUUUCAUAGCCAUAUUUUACUUUACUUAGACUCAUUGACUUGCUUAGUCAAAUCACUUCUUCUUUGACUAUCAUAAUUUCAAUAAAUAAUAACAUUUUUACACAACAACAUAAAAUAUUAUGGAUUUCUCAUAAUCUUAUCAUUCAACUAUUUAAAAUCAUAUCAUGAGAAUUUCUUUCAUUCAUUAACUUUUAAAUUUUAUGGUUCAUAUGUAUGAUAUCAUAAUAAAUAUUAUAUGCUUAUAUAUGAUAUAUUUAUCACUCAAUCACAUGAAUAUAUUAUUGAAAUAUAAUUUAUUUAGUGGAAUUAUUCUUAAUUGAUCUUUGAUGAUUUUGUUGUCAUCAAAAUAUGAUGCCUUCACGAUUCCAACUAAGACAACUGAGUUAGUGUAUUUACAAAAUCUUAUUUAAUAUCUAGUUUCAUAUAAGUUUUGAAAACAACAAUUAUAAUGAUUUAACUCACCUUGCCUAGUUCAUUUUAUAAGGACCACAUAUUUACACGUGUGGAAACUUCAACUAAUAUUGACUAAAUUUGAUAACUUUAGUUAUCACAUCUUCUUAAGCACAUGUUCUAGAUUCGUGAUUAUAAGUGGCCAAGUCAAAUUAGGUUCAAGCUAAUAUUUUUUACAUUGAAGGCUCUCAAUGGGUUGAGUCUAUGAUUUACUCAAACAAAAGAAAUUAACUAAUAAAUAUUCUUAACAUUUUUUGCAUAUAACUUUGAUUGAUGUAAAUGAGCAGACUUGAAUUCCAGUAGAAUGAUGUGAAAAUUUUGAUUAUGGAGAGCAUAUUUCACUUCAUGUGAUAGAGGGAUUAAUAUGUAUAUAGGGUAAUUUUUCUCUUCCACUUUGGAUUAUAAUGCUAAAAAAGGAUUGUUCUGAUGGUUAUUGUGGAGGACUGUAAAAGCUGGCCAUUUUUGUUUUUUAUCUUGAACUGCUACACCCUAAUAGCCUUCUUAUUAAGGGAGAAAACUCAUUAAUAACCAUAUUUUAUUUAACUAAAUUAAAAAAUUAAAAAUUUGAAAUUAAAUAAUUACGAAAAUUUUAAAUAAAAUUUUCAAAAGUUACGUAGGCUAUUUGAAAUAUAUUUAAGGGUUAUAUAAAUAAUUUCAUAAAUACAUAAGGCUAUUAUUUUAUCCUUGUAUGUAUUUUGUCAUAAAGUGUUGGAGCUUGUCUAACCAAGUGAGAUAACUCAAUUUGAGUAAUGGCUUCAUUACAAUGAGUAAUGAGUCUUCUUUCAACUAGAUGAGUUGAAUCACUUCCUUGGUUAAGUGUUGAAGCAUCUACAUUCAGGUAAGUUACUCACUUAUUGCUUUUGAUAAUUUGGCAAUGAUGCAGGAAAACAGCCAAUAAUAAAAUACUCUGUCUUUAAUAAAACUAAGAAAUUUCUAAGAGAUAAAUGAUCCCAUGAAUGUAUUAUAAAUGUUAAAUUACUUAUAUCACUUUAUUAAUAUUAAUUUCACUGCAUAAAAUGCAUCAUCUAAGUGAGUACCCUCCAUUCUAGAAAAUAAAAAUCUACAUGAUCUAUCUAGAAAAAAGAUGGAAUGGCACACAUGGUUAUAAAAGUAUUUUUCAGUAUUUUAUUGACAUGAGGAUAAUUUUGUUAGAAUUUUGUCAACAUCAGAUCUAGAAAACCUUUAAAACAAACAACACUACUACCAAUUAUUGAUUUUAGAAAGUCUAUAAUAGGAACCGAGAGGAAGUAGGUUGAGAUUUUGAAAUUCAUAGCAUAAUCUUAGUUAUGUAGUAAACUACAUGCACAAAAUGAGUUGAUUAAUGAAUCAAAUUUAUUCAAAGAUUUUUGAAACCAAUAUUUAUAAUUUUUUAGGACAUUAGGCCAACUAUAUUCACUAGAGGUCUUCAUCUAUGUUACACUUGCUCUCAAUUAGUAUAUGUUAUACUAAACAUUGAGAGUUCAACUAUCCAAUGCUAAAUUCAUAGCUUUAGGUGGGCCAAAUUGUGCCUCAAACACUUUACUUGAAGUAACAAGUUUAUGUUAUACUUCUAAAUUUUAACUUGAACUUUAUUUGAAUGUAUUUAUUAAUUACUUAUAAUGGUAUCCAGUACCAUUAGAAACAUUUUACAAUAAGUUAAAGAAAAGUUAUUUUGGCACUCAUUAUGGAGCUGUUGGCCAUUGAAAUAAAAACUACACCCUCCCCAAUGAUUGAUUGUGGUAAUUUUAAGAAUUAUUUGAAAGUCCAUCAAUGAUUAGUUUAUAUAUACUAUAAUAUCUUAUCUUUUUUGUAUUUUCCUUAGUCACAAUGUUAUUGAGAGAACAAGUUUUCUUCAUACUAAGCAAGUCAUAAGUCCUCUUUGUAUCUUAAAGCAAGAGAAGACAUGACUUUCUAAGCAAUAGAUGUUUACUUUUGAGAGUUUGACAAGGGUUACUAAAUGAUACUAUCAAUAGCUUACUAGUUAAAAGUGAACAAGGUCCCAUCUUGAAAAAAGAAAAAGUUAUGAAUACACUAACAAAUGGUUUUGAGUGCCAAUGAGACCUUACUAGGAGUUACAAUAGCAUAUUGCCUACAUUUUGAAGCUUACCUAAAAUAAAUUUGACAAAAUAUAAACUAUUAUUUCACCCUUGUGUUCAUCAUGUCAUCAUCAAAAUUGGAAGCACACAGAAAGCAUGCAAUGUCAUGUUUAUGUUAAUGUACAUACACAUCUUUGCACCAAUGCAAUGUCUACCUCCCCCACGUGCAUUUACCAAAAACAUUGUUGUGUGCCGUGGAAUUACUGUCCUUCAUAAUCUAUGCUAGUCUGUGUAUCUACCCUAAGCUUCUAAUGUCUUCUCAUCAUCAUGUGCUUGAUUCAGGACAUCUAUCCCCACCCAUUUACAUUAGGUGUGUAAUACUUUUAUUCCUUAAAUAGAGAUGAUGCUUUCAUAUGCUAAACAUGUAACUAUGCUAGUUAACUUAGAGGGAAUUGUCUCACUAUUACUUUUGUGAAUUGAUAAUGAUACCUUUGGUAAGAGUAUUUCACAUUGCAGACAUCUCAUCUAUCACCUUAAUUUAACAGUUGCUUCUUAAUCAUCACAUAGUCUUAAAUAUUUUAGUAAAGACCUAUUUCAUUUGUACACAUCUUUUGAAUCGAUUUUCAUCAUUAGUUAUUCCAUGAUCUUAGCUAGUAUAAAUCUUGUGUAUCUUGUCCUACAUCGUCCCCAACUGAACUUUUAAUCUAGAUGAGCAUGACUUUUAUAACUCUUCCUGGACCCAGCCUGAGUCCAUUGUGUAGAGUUUUCAGGCAUGGAGAGGAUAAUAAAGUGACUUGGUUAAAGCGGACUAAUAGGAACAAAAUUAAAAAGAUAACGCUUCUCUCUCCCACAUUGUAAAAACAUGCAAAAAGUCUGUACUCCCACUCGGAAAUAAAAGUUAUGAGGACCCUACUAACAUGAGAGAUCAUCAUAACACGAAAGAUAAUCCAGACCUUAUUGUCUAGAAUACCUAAGUUGGAGGUUUCUCGUAAGCAAACUGACAGCCAUUUCAAUGCCUUUCUUACUUUGAUGAACUCCCUCUUCCCAGGGAUGGGGUUUAAGAAUUUGGCUUACGUCCGUCAGAGCCAUGGGACGGCGCCGGAUAUGAACAUAGGAUUGAAUCCAAGCAUCCGGCUAGUUUUUGCCACUGAAUCGAAUUAGACUCGUGGAGAUUUCGAGCCCCAUGGGGUCGAGUCUUCAAGAAGAUUAUUUAGAAAAACUUAAAAUUAUCUGUGCAGGUGAUGCAAGGCCAGCUCGAGCAGGGGCCUGUGCAUUCCAACAAAAGAUAAUGAGUCUUCUAUUACGUGGACCUUGCAUCGUUCAGGAUGCAUGAUGAUUGUCAUGCUUUGAAGCACAAGAACCAUGGCAACUGGACCCAACAUGCGAAAUUUUGGAAAUGGGCAGCUGGGUAGGAAUAAGAAUGCAAAGAGAAACCGAGGAACGUCUGUCCAUGCAUGAAAUACAGUAAAAGAACCCUCAUUUCGUCUGCAUGGGAGACAAUCACGUCUGGUAGAGAUAAUGGGAGGGAGAGAGAGAGAGAGAGAGAGAGCACACCAAUAUGGCUAAGAAACAGCAGCAGCAGCAGCAUCAGGAUGCCCGUUAAGCAACAGGAGUAGCCUCCAACAGAUUCUUCACGUAACCGUCCUAGUUGACGAAACCCAUGAACCAAAACUCGUACUUGUCAGGUGAGACCACCUGAAUUUUUCAGAUGAAUUUACCUUUCUUGCUGAAGGAUUGGCCACUCAUAGUUGAUGCAAUGGAGUUAUCACCUGUCUUUCACGAGAACCGUCAAGAGAGAAAGAGAGAGAGAGAGAUGUCAAGCUUAUGGAGCAUGGACAAGAAUACAACAGUCAGGGCAGGCAAAGAUGGAAACUAACAUGGAGAUGAGAUGAGAAAAAUCAAUUGUCAAUUCAAGGAUAGAAUGAUGAUUCUUCCUUUCUAACCUAACCUUCAGCUGGGUGUCCACACGGGUAAGAUCACAAAAAUGAGAAUUAAAGAGGAACUACUCUUUUCUGUUUUGUUUCCACUCCAUAUUGUUGCCUUUUUGGACCAAACUUUUUUUUCCGUGCAGGAAAAUCAAACUAGAAUAAUUUUACGUUGUUAUAAUUAUACUGGAUAAAUAUCAAUAUAUCAAUAUUAAAUUAUGAUAAUUCUUAAAAAAACGAAUGAAAAUAUUUGACUCACAAUGCUGUAAAGGUAACUCUACACAGCAAAAUAGUAAAAAAAAAUUGUUCUGUAGUGGCAGCUAAGUAGCCAUUGAGAUACUUGGAACUAGACUAAAAACAGUGCAAGUGAUUUUUUCUGAUUCUUUUCAAGUCAGAACAACAAGAAGUCGAAGCCUUAUAAUGAGUUAGCACAAAUAUUCAUUUUUCAACAAUCAGGAUCAAAUUUUCACAUCUUUACGUGAACUCUUACAAAAAAAUAACUGUUCUAGCUGAAUGAGGAGUCUCCUCUGCUACACUGGUCCCCAUCCCCAUGCAAGGAAAGCUGGUGCCCAUGAACACGCUCAGUUCUACCAUAAAGACUCCAACUCUACGGUUGACACACCAAUCCAAAAGUUUUAAACUUUAUUUCGUUUUACACAUCUGGUAAAUGGUUCAUAGCUGUAGAGGACUACUACAAAAAGCAAGUACUGGGACUCAGGCAGUUACAAGAUAGUUAAUUUAAAAACAACGAGCAAGCACUGAGGACGAGAGUAUCUGUCUCCUAUCACCGUGAAUGUAGAGUAAAAUUUGGGCUAACACAUCUCUGUUGAACAAUAAAUUAAUUAAGUUUUAGUAGAACCAAAGACUUUCUAUAACUGCUUUAGUGCAUAGUACGACCAUGUCCGAUUCUCAAACCAUCUUCCUGUAAUAAUGAAUGGCUUUAACCUGCCAUGAACCAGUUGAUGCCAUCAAAACUAAGAGUGACCAAAUUUUUAGCUGAUUAUUCGUUCAUUGUAGAGGCAGAAACAAGACCACUUAGUAAAGCCAUGGAUGAGUCCUCUCUAAAUCGGAAAAUCAAUUCAGGAAUCAGUAAAUAUUUCUGAUCGUGGUGCCAAGAAAAGGCAACAUAUGGACUUGAGUUCAAGAUAAUUUUAUUUUUCAAUCAUUUAUUUAAGUAAUUUAUAAAUAUAUUAUCUAGUUUCAACAUAUUUUUUAAUUUUCCACUUUUUCCCCUGAAGCGACCAAUGUGAGACUGUCCAGACCAAAGUUAGUCAAUCCGGGAUCCGAUCCCUAUUCUAUGGCAUAAGUCAGAAGCAGAGUUUCUCCAUUGCAUAACAAUUUAAAGUAUCAAAAAUGAUGUACUAAGAUUGGUUGAUGAUAAUAUAACAACAAGAAUUUUUUUCUGACAUUAGAUGAACGAGAUUUACUUUGACAUCAACAGUGAAUUGAACCAGUCACAAAAGUUGAUAUUUUCAACAUCACUUCACUAUGAUUUGCCAUGAACACAGAUGAGGCUUCUGUGAGAAGAAAAAUAUCUAGUAACAGAAGCUAAAUCGAUACUUUUUCCGAUGUUACAAGAUAUACUGUAAUCUAUUAACAUCUGUCCACAAUGGGUAUGAGAUUUAUAUUGCAGUAGAAAAAUUAAAAUCAUAUAUUACAAAUAAAAUCUAUCUAGUAAGAAAAUAAAUGAACGCAACUUGCACUAUCUCCAUUCAGUUUGCUCCUCUUAUUUACACGGAAUGGGAUUGCCACUAUAAAAAGCCAGUUUUGGUGUAGAGAGACAUAAAGUACCCAUACCAGCAGCAGCAGAUGUUGAUCAGUAGCAAGCAUGAGACAUUAAUUCUUUCCUCCAGAAAGCUGUCAAUUCAUCGUUUAAAAAUCUUUUCCUAGCCACACUUCCACAAUAACAUCAUUUCCACCCUGCAAUUCUACCCAUUCCAGUCUCUGCAACAUUCGGAUAUGCAGAAAUCUAUAAAUAACUUUCAAAAAUUAAUGUUAGCAUGUUGAACACUAAAAAGUAUUAAGUCGCCACAGUUACAAGGUAACUUCGAAAACGAGAAUGUGAAAUGAGAAAUAAAUGACCAAACUAGGCCAGAAAUAGAACUAAACACAAUGCAGGGCUUAUUUUUUUCUUGAUAGCAUACUAACUGACAGAAAAGUUCAUUUCAUUAGUCAAUUUUUGGUUAUGAAAGUGGUCCCUGAUGUGAAACGAACUAAGAUCAAAACAUAGUUUUGAUGCAGAGUUUUGCGGUGUUUUCUUGUUUUAUUCCAAAGCAAAUCUUUCCUAAAUCAGUAUCAAUGGGCACCAGUAACAAGAUUUGCACAGAUACAGACACUUUAAUGUUAGACUAAUCAGGGGAUUGGCUCCUGACUAGUGACCAUCCAGACUUUUUAUAUAAGUAAAUCAUUACGGAUGCCACUUUGGGGUGAUCUUAAAAAGAGCAUCUUGAAAAGGCACUGCGAUGAUCAGACAAGAAAGUUUAUCAAUUCUUGGGGGCUCCAUCACUAGCGAAUUGUGGCAUCAGAGUCAAGAAGCCCCAGAGGACUUAAUUAUACUAAGGCAAGGAGAGAGUGUACCCAUGACCUUAUUUAUGCAAAGGAGGAAGGCAGUAUGAAGAAGGGAUUUUUUACAAAUUGGAAUAAAAGGGAAAAGAAUUUCAUCCCUUGCGAAAUUAGAAAUCUUCUGAAAUAAUCAGAAGCAAAUCCAAGCAGACCUCUUGAAUACGAACUUUUCUAUAAAAUAUCGCCCAACUAAGUGGUUGAAAGAAAAAGAGCCUGGAGUUUACCAUAGUUUACCUGCCAGCUUGAGCUCUAACAACGUGAUUCACUCUUUAUUAUGUUCUAUAUCAUUUCCGUGCAUUGAUUUUGUCCAUUUUUCGAUCUACAUCGUGUUUGAAAUAUUCAUUUUUCAAAGCAGCCACAAGCAGUUAUUUACCAGAAGAGAGUUCAAUGGCUUCCUCUUUUCUUUGUUAUUGAUCUUAGUUUAUUCCUUUAUUUUCUUCAGUCAGCAGAAGAUUCCAUUUAAGGACAAUGAGCCCGAUUAGAUCAAAAUUAGACGACCAAUGGGUCAGAUCGGAUCAGUGAGAAGAACGAUCUCAAAAGGAAAAUAAGAUUUGAUUAUAAAGUUAAUGACAAAUUCAUAUAUCUUAAAAGGGUAUUUAUAAAUAGUUCAAUUGAAAGGAGCAUAAAUACCCAACAAUAUAUAUGAUUUCCUGAAAUGUUUCGUCCACUCUGGAGAAAUAAGGCAGAUGCACACCCUAAAUAGACACAAACUCAUAGUAGGCGAUUACUAUAGGUUCUUGUAAGUGAGAGUCAAUGGAAAUCAUAUGCAUGGGGAGUCAGGUGGCAACAAUGAGCAGUGGAGUUCAUUUCUUAAAUUACCAUUUUUUGUUCUGUUCUUCACCAAAAGUGAUCUUUUUCCUCCUUUUCUUCUUCAUCCAUGGCAGAAAACACUUCCUGACGUCUGUUUUCUUUUUCUUUCUUUUUUUCCUUCUCCAUAAAGGUUUUAUUUGACUGAAAAUCUGCCAAUUUUUUGGCUGACAAUUGGGUGGUUUCCAGGUUCAAUCGCUUAGGUCUACAGUUACAAAAAAAGCCUUGUAACCUUAUCUAUCCACAAAUAAUCAGAAUCAGGCAAAAUGAAUGAACAAGUAAGAACACAGAUGAUGACCAUCAGCGUCAUUGAUUAUUUUUAAUAAAAAAAUAUAAAUUCCAGGUUUUCCACAGAAGUCGUUAGGUCAUCCAACACCAGUUGAAUUUUCAGUAACGUGGUUUUAGACCUGGACAUUGAAAGGGUCAAGAAAAGGGUGAGGUUAGAUGAGAUUUACUAUUCCAGCUGCUCCAAUGGAUGAGGUUAAUGAGGUUAAAUAAAUGGCUCAUAUAUAUACUUUUCCUAUCAUUUCUGGCAGAUUUUACUGCACAGAUAAAAUAAUUCAAGAAGAACCCAAAAGACAUGCAGGAAAUCACAUAUCCUUUUUCUGCAGAAAAUAUUCCUAUUAUUUUGUUGAUAAAAUAGCUGCUAUAUGUGAGCAGAGAAUGAUCCCAGCAGUUCCCAAUGGAACCAGAGGAAUUAAAAGUGAUUAGAACAGCGGUCUGAUAGUCCAAUUUAAGAAAAAACUAAUGAUACAGCCGUUAGCAUCUGUGACUGUGAUUCAUGCUUUAUUUGGAAGAGCUCUGGGAGCCUCAGACAGAAAGUUCCAAGUGCUAUAUAACAUCUAUUUGGGAAAGAAAUCCGUGUCAAGAACAUAAUCGAGUUGACAAAAUCGUUAGCAGAUCAGCUGAUCAUAUGGUUCAUGGGGGCUUCAGACAGCAUAUGAUGGCUCAUUUUUUUGGAGAUCCUCAUCCCAACUACAAGCAGGGAUAUUAAUGAGUAAGAAUUCAGAUAAUUAACUCCCUAAAAAAGAUUUAAUCCUCUCUCUCUCUCUCUCUCUCUCUCUCUCUCCUCUCCCUGUCUCUUCUCUCUCGACACACAGAGAUAUAAAUGUGUAGAUUGAUAGAUAGAUAGAUAGAGAGGGAGAGAGAGAGAGAGAGAGAGAGAGAGAGAGAGAGAGAGAGAGAGAGAGAGCGAGAGAGCGAGAGAGGAUGCUCUGCAACUGCUGGAGCUCUUCAAGAAUUGGGCAAGUCCCUGGAAGGGAACCCACUUUACGCGCAGCUGGUCAAGCCAUUAACCAGGGUGGGGGAAGGUGAAAUUCCCUCUCCAGGCUCUACCCAUCUGAAAACAAACAUGGAGAGCUGCUCAGCACAUAGAUUUACGCUCAGAGGUCUCAUUUCUUGCGCAGAUGAUCAAGAGUCACGGGCGGCGACGAGCCGUCACCUCCA
This 75343-nucleotide long non-coding RNA is filed under the name Spirodela polyrhiza (greater duckweed). RNAcentral's name for it is "long non-coding RNA (SPOL_LNC001370)". The record is from RNAcentral. Lineage: Eukaryota; Viridiplantae; Streptophyta; Magnoliopsida; Alismatales; Araceae.